RNAcentral lists this long non-coding RNA (51332 nucleotides) under Coffea arabica (coffee). RNAcentral's name for it is "long non-coding RNA (CARA_LNC000107)". The record is from RNAcentral. Lineage: Eukaryota; Viridiplantae; Streptophyta; Magnoliopsida; Gentianales; Rubiaceae.
CAAAACUUCUAAACCUACAUCUAAUGGUGCUGCUGAAAUCAUCUUUCCUUGAUGGUUUAUGAACCCUUAGAUGAGUUUUGUCCAUGAUGAUCUUAGUGUAGGGAUUAAAGCCAAGUGGUUAGGGAGAAAGUGAUCCAAUGGCGAUGAAAAAAAACGGUGGGAAAAAGAAAAUAGGAUUGUGUUGCAUUUCCUUGUAUUUUCGCUUCAUGUUUCUGCUCAAAAACGAAAUAUGGAGAUAGAGCUCGGAUCACAUGAAGCUCACGCAAGCGUGAGCUUGGUCUGACACCUCUUCUCUCUUUUUUAAUUUUUAAUGCUAAAAAUGCCUAACGAGAAAAAGGAUUAAAUAAAAACAAAUAAAGAUAAAUAAAUUAAUAUCUAGAAUGCCAAAAUGAAAAAAUAAAAUCAUGAGAUUAAUAAGGUAAAAUAAAUGACAAUUAACAAUAAAUAAAUAAAUAAAUAAAAUAAAAUAAAUAAAAAUUUGGUGUCUACAAGGAGAAUUCGAAAAACUCCAUUUCCUUAAGAUUCGGAAAUUUCAGUUUUGAUACGAGAUCUUUGAAAAAUCACAUCUCACUCUUUACAAGUCCAAAAUUGGAAAACUUAGUACUGUUGGAAAUCUCUUAGGAAGUACUAAAAGUUCCUAGUAGCCAUCUUUCCAGGAUUCUAAAUGGAAGGUAUCCGAAAAUUAGCUCAAAGUUGCUGUUUUGGGGCAUUGAAGACAGGUUUAAGUUGGUUUUUGGUCAACUUUGAAAAUUUGGCAAAAUUCACUUGAUUUGAACUAACCUCUCGAAUUUGGAAAUUUGUUAGGGUUGCAAUCCACGUUUAAAACAAAAUAAACGGAACGAGAAUCAGAGUUUUGAGCACCAAGAUACAAUAGCUCAAAGUUGGUGAAAAAUCGAAACUGUUAAGCCAAUUUUCCAGAUUUAAGUUCCAAACUUUGGGACUUUAGUUAGGUAUCGAAAUGGACUCGGAAGAGUGCCAAAUUAGGUAUGAAUAUACUACCAUAUAAGGGCCACUCCUUUGCCAAAUUUCAUAGAAAAAUAUGUUCGUAAAUUGGUUAACGAGACCGUUGAAAUCACAAGAAAUUCUAAGGCUAAGCUGCCUUUGAACUUCCGUUUUGCCGUUUCCAAGCAUUUGGUCAAGAAACAUCUCAAACCUGGUCCAUUCCAGUAGGUAAUGUCUAAAAUAUGUCCAAGGUACAUUUGAUAGGUGAUAUACACUAAGAAGUUUCGGAUAACAAGUUCCAAAUCAUUGUUAGUUUCAAAUCUGUCCAAAUGCAUGGUAUUUCUUCACAAUACCAGAUUCCAAUUUUGGUCAUAAAUCACUCAAUUCAACUCGAAAUUGAGCAUGGUUGGUGGCGUUGGAAAACACAUUCAUAGAGAUACAAUUUUUUAGAAGAAACUAUUUUCAAAAUCUGUCCACAACUAGCCCACAUUUAAGCAUCAAGUUGUAGUUCAUGUUCUGCCUUCCAGUGAACCAACGAAACAGUGCAGCCAAGUUCAAAUAGUUGGUGUGGUUCACUCAGGUGGAAUCAGAACGUGCAUUUUAUACCGUUGGAAAGUUGGGAAUAUUUAGUUUCCAGUGCCGCAAAUGGAACUCGAUUUCGACAUCGGGACAAAGAGUUAUAGUCUAAACAAAAUCACUGCCAAAGUAAUACGGGACACAAUUCCAGUUUUGGCAAAUUUUCUAAAUCUCAACAUGCACUCACCCAAAUCACGUAAAAUUUUGAGAAAACUUUUUACACAACAUAUAUUACACAUUUGCAUCAGAAAGAAGUCAAUUGGACUUCAAGAAAGUACACUAAAAUGCACGAAAAUGGCAGGGCAGAAUCGGCACCUUCACAUGCAACCCUUCAUUUGACUUCCUUUUCACUUUUAUCACUUAACUCUACUAAAUUAACACUUAAUCAACACAAUUAACAUCCAAUCUUAUCAAAUCAGAUCAUCAAAGUCAUUGUGGGAUUUCAUAGAGCCCACUCACCAAUUUUCUAACAAUUUAAAGCUGCCCAUGAGAAUCCAAGAGCUCAUGAGUGUAAUCUAUCUUCCAUAAAUCAAGAAUUAAGUGGUUGAUCAUUAUUACUUUCUUAGAGAGCCAAGAUAGAAAUUUUGGUCACUUUGAGCUGGAGAAAAACUGUGAGAGGCAGCUCUUUUCCUAGCUUAUCUUGAUCACCAAGUGAUUUGAGUGUUGUGUGUAAAAUUUGGAGGUAAUUUGAGCAAGGAAUUGAGGAGAAAAAGUGGAGGAAUUUUCUGGUCUUGUUCUUCCUUUGUUGCUCGGCUGUUUGAGUGUAUGUGAGGAAGGAAAUUCUGAUGUUAUUAGCUUCUAAGGUAGGCUUAAAACUGGUGGCUCAAAUUUGCUCAAAGUUGUCCACUAAAAUAAUGCACGUGCGCGUGCGUUUCGUGCUCGAUUCCUCUCGAGUUUAUUGCACUAGUGCACUAAACCUCUAAUGCACUUACAUUCAUAUUAUUAUUAUUCACUCUUAAUAGUCCCAAAAUAAUGGUCUAAAGCUCCUCAAUUACUCGCGCGCGUAAAAACGCAUAUGUCUAAUUUAAGCGCGAGAUAGUGAAAUUUAUAAGAAGUUCUUAUAACAGUAAUAUAACUAACUAACCUUUGAACACUUAUACAUAAAAAUACCUAUUUUAGGACUAAUGUACAAGUCUCCAAUUUUCCAAGUUUAUUGUAUUCUCGAAUCGAUUUCCUCCUGAGGAGCGUUUUUAUUUUCUUUGUUCCAAACCAUCCAUGAUGUUCCGUCGCUCUAGGUGGACUAAAACCAUACAGAGCAAUUCUCCUGAAAAUACAGCCUGUUCCGACAUACAUUGGACCUUGUAAUCCAUCAAAAGCCCUCAUACUCACAUCAAAAAAUACGGUGUUGUGGUUUGCAUACCGAUCAUUUGGAUCAAUCCCCUCGAAUCGUUGAGGGAAUUGUACGUAACAAAUUCUGUCACCACCUCGGUCUAGCAUAAAACACAUUCCCUCCCUCAAUGCCAAGAGUUAUAGAUAUAGUGGUCACAGUCCAAAUUAAGAAUGAAAGGGCCGUUGGACAUAAUUGCCCUGGCACGGACUAGAGCAUUCAUGGCUCUAGCUUUCUUGUUGUGUUCAAAACCACGCCGCUUCUCACGAGAGACAUAAACCAGCAUUGGCAGCCGGAUAUCAACUUCUGCUGUAUCAAUCAAGUUGUCCUUAUCAGCUUCAGUCCCAAAAACUGGCUCUGAAUUAGGCGGCAUCAACAUCAUCUGAAAGAGCGAAACAAGAUAUUAGCAAUGAAGAAUCACAUCAGACUAAAGGAGGAAAAUUGCACCAAAGCCAAGAAGUAAAAAUGCAAUUUACCUGAAUAAUGCCCUCAUGAUCACCUUUUGAAUGACCUUCCUCUCCCGAUGUCCAAGUUCCGGGCCAAUGAGAGCCAUUGAACAUCCAAGUAGCCUUUGGGGCCUUAACGGCUUCUGAAAGAUUGUCCCCAAGUUCAAGCUGUUUCUUCCUAGCCCUUAAGCUCUGCUUGAGCAUUGUAUGCAUUCGAUCUUCUCCUUAUUGACUCCGGCAAGGCAUUUAUCCUGACUUUGAAUUCAUCAUACUCUCUUUUCACUCUUCUCCUGUCCCUCACAAAAUCAAUUUUCACUUUGUUCUUGAGAGGAUCACUCUUCUGACUAAAGUAUGCCUCCGGAUUGCGAGGUACAAUGUUGUGUUUCCUACAGAAGGGAACCCAAGAUUUUGAAAAGCUUGCAGCCUCGGCAAGAGCCUCAAAUGUCACCAGAGAACUUCCAUCAUCAGAUAGAUAACAUGUCACCUUCUCCAUCGGAUAAUCAACUGCAAGUAUAGAAAGAAUAGUGUUUGCAGUAACUAGAGGUGGCUCUUUGUCUGGAUCAGCUGUAGAGACAAAUACAUCAAUCCCUGGAAGGUCAGAUAAUGUUUUGGGAUUGUUGAGGUUUGGAUCGGAUGAUUCAAAUCUCUGCUUCAGAACCGACAGGUCGGUCACCCUUUUCACAGGGCAAAGCUUAGGUAGCUGAUCAAGAAGCCAAGACAGUGCAAACCAAAAUUCACAGACAACAGACAUUAUCCAUAACCACAUUGCUUCAUGAUUAGGAUGUGACACCCUCCAUGUAAGGAAACAGGCAAGUGCAGCAAGACGAAGAGCCAUCAGUAAUCUACACAGCCAAGCCAACAUAAGCUUGCGUCAAUUUGAAUUUUUCGGUAACAAUGUCCUACUAACUAUAUAUAUAUGCACAAGUGGAGGAAUAAAAGGAAUUUGCAUUUCUUAAACUAUUCAAGGUCCUAGAGCGUAGCAAAGAUGAAAAAGUCAGAGCAACAGUGGACUGAAUCUCAUACGACAUAAAUUAGUCAAUGAUCAAUCGCAGAUUAGAGAAACAUAUCCUUGUCCGAUAACAUGCUAGUAAAUUCUUCAAAGUAAGAUCUUUUUCAUCAUGGAAAAACCAAAAAAUGUAUAACAAUUGAGCAGAACAAGUAAACAAGAACUAGAAAACAAAACUCUGGUUGGUUUUGGUUCUGACCUGUAGGGACUGAUUAUUGCAGUAGAAAUUCCAACUUUCCUAGUUAAGGGCUUGUUUCUCCGGUCCGUGAAAUCGGGAGGAUUUUGAUGUCGCUCAGUUCCCAUUCCAGACACGUAUCCAUCUCUAGGCCAAACUGCAUUUCCAUACCCAUAAGUUCCUUUGGUCUCAAACAGCCAUUGUGCAUGAUCAAAAUCAUGGUUUGGAUUCUUGAAAGACUGAACCAAAGAGUAAUUCUCUCCCACUCUGAUUCGCGGUUGGGACCGUGGCUCAUCCUGAAUUUCGUCAUCAAUAACAUCUCCCCUGUAAGGCUCUUUGCAACCGGGGCAUCUUCCGGCUCCAUUUUCAACGCAAUCAAAGAAGCAAUCCCUGUAAAUCCUGAAACCACACUCGCACUGCAUUUUGGAAUUCCUAUCAAGAGCUUUCUCAUCACAGCCCUCGAUUUCACAUACCAGAUUUGAUUUUGUCUUCACAUUUGGUAGCUCAACUUCCUCGGAGCUUUUCCUGACGUGAGCUCGAGUCACCGAAUUGUGUCCUCCGGUAAAAAUGGUAUCUUUGAUGAAGCCUGCACUAGGAAUUCCCCUGCUUUUGCUUCUGUCUAGAGGGCUGUUCUGAGAUCCAGCGAUUAUCCGGUUAUUAGGGGUGGGAGGAAUGUGAACUGUGUAGGCGACAAACUCCUCGGUGCUGUCUUUGGAGAAAGAAAGAUACCUCGCAGUAGUAUUGGAAGAAGAAGCUUUGCCUCCACUGGAAGCCCUCAAUCCUCUUCCACUCAGGGGUGAAUUCGGAUUGUUUGAUAAGGAAUGACGCCGGAUUGGACUAGUCAAGGCGAUUCCAUGGCCCCCACCACCACCUGAGGUAGAGACCGUAAUUGUCAUAGGAGAUGAGGAUGGAGAAUCAACACCCAUUUUCACCAAUUUUUUGUUCUCCUUUUCUUCGGGGAAAACGGGUAUGACAAGAAGGAAACAGAAAUCGGCAGCUGUAUGAGAACAAAGAUCAGAAAUUCAUGGUAAGCAGAGAAAGCUGAUGGGUAUUUUUGGGGGGCAAAAGAAGAAGAAGGAAGGUCUGAACUCUGGGUAGGGAAGCUAUGGUAUAAAUUUGAAAUUUUGUGGGGUUUAGACAGAUAUGGAUUUCCAUGUAACGGUCGACUGAUUAUGGUCGUUGGUUAGGAGAAAUCGGACGGCGCUUCUUUGGACUUAAUAAAAUGCCCGUUUGUGACGCUGAGAUGUCCGAAAGUUUUGAAGAAAGUUAAAAAAAAAAAAAAAAAAAAAAGGUCCUCUGCCCUGCCCACAAUGCAAGGAUCAAAAUGGGCCCGACUUGAAUUUCAACGGCCGGUCCAGUUUUUUUUUUAGUAUAGCAGUCUCAUGAUCGUAAUAAUUUACAAGAGCCUCCGUGAGCUUUGGCAUAUUCGAAACAAGCCCCUCUAGGGUGGGUUUUCUUGCAUUCUGUUCAAUAACAACUUAUGCUUCCUUCAUUUCACUUUGAUAGUUUUGUUUUCCUUUUUCAUCCAUCCUAAAUUAUAGUUCAUUUUUUUCAAUUGAAGAAUAUAGUUAACUUUAAUUUCUCUAAACUACCCUUAUUUAAUAUAGGGUAAAAAAACAAAAAAGCCAUUUUUGGUUAAGUGAACAUACAGAAUAACCCCCGUGAUUUCAAAAUACACAAUCCGACACCUUGUAAUUUGAACUAAAUUGAAAAGGCAAUGGAAAUCGUCAAAACGAAUGUAUUUGAAGCACACACACUUGUGUUUUACAACUAGUGAUACCUGAUAACAGUUUUUUAUGAUUAAUUUUCAUUUAAUAUACCUAUUCUACCCCUUACAGAAAUGCCCCCUGUGGUUAAUUCAACCUAUAGAAAAAGCCCUCCAUAGUUGUGAAACAUAUAAGUUGGAUUUAAUGGAAACUUUCAAAAAAUAUAUUGAAAAGAGAGUAAAGCUUUUUGAGAUAAAUCAACCACCAGUCUUAUGCUUUGGCGUAUUUGAAACAAGCCCUUUGAGGGUGGGUUUUAUACUAUUUUCUUGCAUUUCUUGCAUUCUGUUCAGUAACUUGGACUCCUUUUAUCACACUUUGAUAGUUUUAUUUUAUUUAUUUUUUAUCCGUCUCAAAUUAUAAUCUAUUUUUUUAAUUCAAAAAUAUAGUUAACUUGUAACUUCUCUAAAAUACCCUUGGAUUCAUACCUUGACUAGUACAUUUUUCCAUAGAUUGUUGUUGUAAUUAAGAUAAAGGUAUAGUGAUUAGUCAUACUCCUAAUAUCAAUGUAAGGGUAUUUUAGAAAAAUAAUAGGCUAAAUUUACUCUUCCAACAAGGUUAACUAGUAAUUUUUCCUAAACUGUGUGAAAAAAAAAUCAAAACUAUCAAAAUGAGAUGGAAAGAGUAGAAGAAUUGGAAUAAUGAUUACGAGUUAUAGAACCUUGACAUUAUAUUGAAAUAGAAAUCCAUAAUUGUUGGUAUUUUUGCUCGAUCUGUAUAUGUAUAUAACUACUAGCCUAUUGAUACAUAUCAAUUAACAUGUGUAUAAUGAUAUGUAUAUUUCGAAAAUCAAACAAUUGAACUGAAAAAAAGUAAUGUUGGAUGACAUUUUAUGAUACUGUUGUAACGACAGGACAAGAGAAAACAUGGGAACAAUUUGAGGGCAACUAAAAUUCUGCGAGAUCUAGAUGUCUCCCUCAAGGUUUUUGACAUUCCUACUAUCCUCCCUCGAGGUUUUUAAAAUAUCAGAAAUCUCCCCUAUUAGGUUAUUAAGGCCCAUUCAUUGCAUUACUCAUGGAGAAAUGACUGAAAGAGUUUCCUAUCUCCACCAUUUUUAUUAGCUUACAGUUUUAUCUUCUAAGUCGAUUUGUGGAAUUCUCUGUUUUUAGACCUUAAAAUGGGGAACUUCAUCUUCAUACAUGUUUCGACUUCUUUCUUCUGAUGCCAUGUUCAUCACUCCUGCUGCCUUUCCUGCUAAAGUCAUGUAGAGGGUCGGUGAUAUUUUACUGAUUCCAGCUGUUCUUUUGCUCUGUCAACCUUCCGAUUUUCAACUCUCUACAAUGAUACAUAGACAAGAGCAUUAAGUUCUUCAGACACUUAUCCCAUAAUUCACCAAAUAAUUCACUAGAAUCUGCACCCACAAGGGCCUUAUUAUCAUAAUUAGCAAUUUGUUGCUUGCAAAGCCUGAGCUCCAUCUCAAGUGCACUAAUCCGAGACUCAACAGGUACAUCAUAUUGCUCAACCGUCUGCUUUUGCAUACCUCGAACUACCUCUGGUUGCCAAACUUUCAAUGCAUCUGAUGCUUGUCUGAUGGUAUGCAAGCAUUCCAAUAGCCAGUGCAUGAGCCCAUGGUUCGCCAUAUCGACCGAGUCGUAACUGGAACGGAGGGCCGAAUCACGAAUAUUACCAUAUCCGCGACGACUCGCUCUGAUUCGGCUGAUAUUGAAUGAUUCGAAUCCGUGAUACACGAUAUCGGCCAAUAUAUCCGAGUCAACUCGGAGUCGAUUCGGAUAUUUUUUUACAUUAUGUCUUUUUUGGUAUUUUCUAAUUUUAUUAAUUUUUUCAAAAUUUUUGGAAACUUUCAUGUGUUAUAAUAUGCGUAUCACCCGAUAUUCAUCCGUUAUGCCGCGACGGAUGUGGAACAAUCGAUACCGCGACCGCGACCGCGACCCACGAUGACGAACCAUGCAUGAGCCUAAAAUGUUCCAAUUUCAGAGAAAGCAUUAAACUUUGAAGAUUCUCCACCUUUGAUGUCUAGAACAGAACAGACACAUAUGUCAUUAGAUUGAAGGGCACCAGCAAUGAAAGAAUUUUCGUAAGCAGUCAUAUGGAGAUAUGUUUUGCUACCAGGACACUUACUUGGUUGUAGCCAUGGUUCAAAGACUCGGCCGAGUCGUCACUGGAACGGGGCUUUCCGAUUCGAUACUGGGACGAGAUGACUUUGAAAUAAUGAAUCGUCGAGAACUCGGCCGAGACGUCUCCGAGACGGAUAGAAGCGGCCGAGUCGCGCCCAAAUCAUCUCGAGUCAGCUCGAUAUUUUAUUAUUUUUGCUAAAUUUUUAAUUAUUUUUUUAUCAUAAUUUUUUACAAAUUUUAGAAUAUUAAAUAUUUCAAAAUUUUGUGUCUCGCAGAGACCGUGACGGAUAAGUCGAGACCGAUGUGGAACGGUCCGGAUCGCGACCGCAACCGCAACCAUGACUUUGAACCAUGGUUGUAUCACAUUCUGAACACUCACUGUAGAGGAGAUGGCUAUCUAGCCCUACUACACCUUCAACACCAAUAACCAUCAGAGGCAGCAGCAAACCAUAAAAGCUGCUUCUAAUAUCCAUGUUCCAGGUGCUUGUAAUGUGUCCUACCCUGCUCUUGUCUAAAAAUCUAUCCGAAGUCUCAGAUUGAUCGCAAGUAAUAUAAAAGUCUGUCUGAAUUCCCGGAUUGAUCACCAAGUAAUAUAUAAUUUGGCCAUUGUUCCUUGGUCGUUUCAACUCUAUUCAAUGAAUACGGAGUUAACUAGCUAAACUUAAAGAAGAUCAAAUUUUCAAUACUGAAAGAGUCAGCUUUCGCUAAUAUCUGAAAUGUCACCGUAGUUAACUAACAACCUUGAAGCAGUUUGGAAGCAGUUGCAAUUCAUUUGUUCUAUCAGGCAAACAAUAACACAAUCGUUUUAGGUUGCUUUUCUUUUCUUUUACACCUUUGCAAGUCAUCCCAAAAAACCCAAUUGCUGGAGUUGAAUAAAAGACCAACAACAAACUCAGCACAGGCUUUAAGAUUCUCAAUUUCUCAAGCCCGUAUCAAUCAUGAUUCAUCUCAACUCUAAUGUACGCCUGCCUGCCUGCAGAUGCUAGGGACUGUAGAAAGUAGAAACUGAUUAACCUUCGAGUUUAUCCCUUUAAUUAUGACAGUCCAUUUCAACUUGCAUACGUAUGUCCCUACUUUGUCUAUUAAGUACUUUUAUCAUGUUUGAACUAGUGAUAGACAUGUCCAUCCUGCUAUUCGAAAUCAAAACUAACAUUUCCUACUACCAACCAAUAAGAAGAGUCGCGUGAUCAAGUAUUUCUGGGCUCUUGAAGAGAGGAAUAUCCCAUCGCAUAUGCCUCCCUUUAAAUGAGUGUAUGGAGGGCUGCAGUGAAUUUGAACAACAUUAACACAGCUUUCAUUCAAUAUCACUCAAACUUGAAACUCUAGCAUCUUGGUACCAGUACAGGCGUGAAUGUGUUUGUUGAUGGUCAUCUGACCUUCAUGUAGUCAAGACCAUGAUUCAAAGACUCGGUCGAGCCAUCACCAGAACAGAACUCUUCGUUCCGAUACAGAGGCGAAAUGACUCCGAAAUACAUUAAUCACCGAGAAUUUGGCCGAAAAGUCUCCGACACUGUGUCAACCUGAGUUCAGCAUAUUUUGUCUAUAUUAUUUUGUUUCUUUUGCUAAUUUUUUAUUAUUUUUGUUUAGCAUAUUUUUUUAAUAUUAUUACAAACAACUUUUAGAAUAUUAAAUGGUUCAAAACUUGUGUUUCGUCGAGACGGUAAUCGAUACAUCGAGACCAAUGAUGUAAAACAGUCAGAACCGCGACCGCAACUGCAACCGUAACUUUGAACCAUGGUCAAGACUCAAGACUGAGUUUUGUCCUUGGUCCUUGCCAGAUUCUGGUUAGAUGAUCAUCAACAAACAUAUUCAGAGCAACCUGCAAAUCAGCUUGCUUUGACACUUAAUCCAAAUCAACAAUUUGUUGGAUCAGAUUGCAGCACGAUAAUAAAUUUCUCGUGAUAACCUUAUCUAUCAGCUAUUGCAUGAAUUUGUAAUUCAUCCAUACCGUUUCUUUUUGCAGGCCUGCCAUAUUUUUCUCUAAGUUGGGAUGUAACGCAAGCCCAACAAAUCAUGCUUGUUCAGAUUCAAAUGUGUACCUGCAUACUUCCAGCUCUUGGUUAACAUGCAGUAUAACAAAUCUUAAAGCUUCAAUAUCAUUUUACUAGUGGAUCACUCAAUUACUUGCUAAAUUUUAAUUUCAUGCGGUACCAUCAAGCUCUUACUAAGUUUUCAGUGCAUUUUUUGCAUCUGGAUCAAUUGCUGCUCAGUCGUCCUUUCUUUCACCUUCUCUUGCACAAUUGCUGCUGUUCCUUCUUCGAAACAAGUUUGGCCUAAAGAUCAGGUAUGGAAUUAGUUUCCUAUUCUUUCAUUCUUGGGUUUUCCUUCCAUUGAUUUUGUUCCAUGGAUUUUGCUUAUGAAUAUGUUUUUUUUUUGUGGUCCGAGGGCGAUUUGGCUGCAAAUUUUGAUUCACUGAUACAAUAAUAAACUCAUAACUCUAAGGGUCUGUUUGGUUGGACAGAAAACAUUUUCCAAAGUUUCUACUGUUGAGAUAUGAUUUCUGACGGCAUCUCCAGAAAUCACACCCUUUUCUUUUCACAGUCUGUAACUGAAAAAGACGAUUGAAGACUAUCCAUAAAAGACCAUCGGCAGCGACAUCUCAUCGGCAAACCAAUCCCUUCUUCGCCGACUGCAUCUCCAGCUCCGGCGGAGACCCACUUUCAGAGCUAAGCUACUCCUCCAAUAAGGUUAUUCUUCUUUUAAAAAUCAGCUACAAUUAUUAUCUCUCUCUCUCUCUCAUUUUUUUCCUUUAAAAGCAGCCAAUAUCAAGGCUCAUCCCCACUCUGGGGGCGAUAUCUCAUCCCUGUUCCUGCAACAGCAUCUCCAACAGGGGUGAAGACUCCUUAACUAUUUCUAGAGGUAUGAUGAUCUCUAAUUAGUUUUUUUUCCGCCUUUUUCCUUUGAAAAAUUGUCUAGAAUUUCUGGUGUAGGUUCUUUAAGUUGGAUUGGAAUGAAUUUUUGUGGGUUGCUUUUGUUUUAGUUUGCUCUUACCUGAUUAGGGUUACAUUUGAUUUGAUUGAUGCUAAUGAAUUAAUUUGGCUGCUGAAUUUUGGGCAAUUUAUGAUUCUUGGAAUCUGAUUAUUAAUCUUGGUGCCCUUGUCUCGACCCUCUAACUUGCUCCGAAUCCAGGUAGGGGACGGUAGUGCUUUUCUUACAAUCUGGUGAGAUCAUUUGUAAAAGCUUUAGUGCAUUCAUUGAGUUUGUGAAGCCACGGGCUGAUUCUUGCCAUAGGUGCUUGAUUGAAAAGGGGUUAAUUAAUAAUAUAAGUCAAAACUUUGAAACCAAAAAAAAAAAGAUCUUGCCACCAAGUCUAUCUCAGCAACCUUAAACUUUUCAGUUCCAUUAACUUAAUAUAACCGUGGAAAAACAUAACGCUUUGGAUAUAUUCCCAAAUCAGUGAAUGUUUUGACAUAGCAGCAAGCAAAUCACCAAAUGGCAAUGACGACUCUGUCGUAAAAUGAUCACUGAGGUUUGUCAUCUUGGCAAAUACAGGAAACGACAAAUAAGUACUCUACAGGUUGUUGGUGGCCAUUUUCCAUGGAAGUCUAGAAUUGGGUGCAAUGGGCACAAUAUACGGCCCUCAAUAAAUCCCCACCACAAGCCUUAUUUGAAAAAGAAUCUAAAUGCUAGCCAUAGAUGUCAUUGAGGUUCAGCUUCGUUGAUCUUUCUAUGACCAACCUUUUUGAAAUUUGAAUAGAAUGUUUUCAUGCUGCAGGACAAAGUUGAAGCAAACAGAAGUUGACUACCAGAAUUUUGAUAAUGCCUGAAUCACUUACUUUAAAAAAGAAAGUUUGUACUUGAUUACACUAAAGUUUUACUGAAUUAUAAUAUACAGUAAUUAAGGGGAAUUAUUAAAGUUUUACUUCAAUAUGCAAGUGAGGUAUGUAUAAACAUUGAUAUAUGAGAUAUUCAUUGAAUAAUAAGUUGAGAUUCAUGCAUCCUUGCCCUUUCAACUUACUUGGAUUGCACUCUUUGAAUGACUUCCUUCUAAAAGACUUCUCGUCCUUUUCUGAAAGUAUUUGGCACUAAAAAAGACCUCAAUGAUUGUGCAUUGCACUGCCAUUGAACUUCAACAAAUAUAUUGCCAUCAUGAAUUCAUACACUUACUAGUUCUUUAUUUUUACAUAAAUAAUAUAGUCAAAAGCUACCUUCUUGGAAUCUGAUUAUUAAUUGCAGUGGCUUUUAUCCAUUGGGAACUUGCACUUGCAAUUCUAACUAUCUUUAAAGAUUUGGGGUGGAGAGUUGCUUGACUUAGGCGUUCAGUUUGUUCAUUUGGAGCAGAGUUUGUCCUUUCGGAUAUGGACUAUCCAGGAAGUUGUAAUUGAAUAUGUUUGUUGCUGUUGUUGAUGGAUUAUCAUUUUUUCCUCCUAAGCUUCUUGUGGAUUUCAAUUGUUGGCAUUUGCUGGUGUUCUAGUAUUGUAUACUAGUUUGUUUAGAGCAAUGUCCUUUAAUGAUUUUGCGAAGCUGCACAAUGGACAUGGGAACUUGGACUGUUUCAUUACGCUUACAUUCUUGUUUUUCGUUGUAAUCAGUGAUUAUUGCUUGUAGUAUGAUCAGAUGAACAAGAUGUUGAUUGUGACUAUUUAAAGACACUAAGCAAUUUUCUUUUGGUGGAAACUGACCCUUGGAGAGUGCUCUGUUUCUUUUGUCUAGAGCCAUAGUUGUCAAAAGAAGACAUAGUUGUUAGAAUCAAUGUUGCAGACCUGACUGCAUAAUGUUGGCAAGUUGUGUAUUGAUGUAAAUUCCUAGGAUAAAGGUUUCAGUUGUGAUUAUUUUCUAAUUCAAAGGGUGUAGGUAUUGGUAAUGGUUGUACUGAGGUAUUCUGCUUGGCUUGUUGAUUAAGUUGAUCAUCUGCUUACAACAAAGAACAAUUAUUCUUUCUUCAAUUUUGUGUCUUAAAUGACUGCAUGUUUUGUGGCAUUCUGCUUGGCUUGUUGCUUAAGUUGGUCCUUAAAGAAGAUGAUAAUUAAUUUUAGUUACCUGAUACCAAAUAUCAAGUUGGUUGAUGACCUGGAUGCACAUUUUGUGGCAAAAAUUAUUUAUGGAUUCUAGUUUGUACAGCAUAAAAAAAGGUUGAUUCGGAGAUAAAAUUGCACAGCUUGCUAAGUUUUGGAUUUAGGAGAAGACGGUGCAGCACUUGAAGAACUUAAGUUUUGUAUACUUGGACCAUGAAAGUCGCCUUCUAAAUUUCUUGGAUUAGUCUUUACAUAUCCAGAGAUAAAGCUUUUGAGAAUGGGAAAAUAUUUGCAACAUUGCCAACAAACACUAAAAAAGGAAGUCAGAAAAUAUUUUCACUGACAAACCAAACACCAAAAAAUUAUGAAAAAAGGAAUUUGGAAACUAUUUUCACUAAAUAACCGAACACCGGAAAAUUAUGGAGAAGGAAGUGAUUUUCCAGGAAAAUGACUUCGAUGGAAAAUAUUUAUUUUCCGUCCAACCAAACGGACUCUAAGCUAUCUGAUUUUUCCAUGCUUUACAUAACUCAAACUAAGAGAGAUCAGUUGGCGAUUUUGCUUGUAGACUGUAGCACCAGUUAAAAUUACCUUGAACAACUACAGGUUGACAUCUUAUUUGUUUUCUUUGGUUUUUCUUCUUAAAAUACACUAUGGAAAGAGGAAACAAUUGGGUUAUAGAAAUGGGAAAAAAUCAAAUGUUAGUAAAUAUGUUUCCUCAAGUUGAUAUUUAAUGAGUUGCUAUUACUCUGGAUGUGGAAUUGAUGAACAAAGCAGCCAGGAGGCAUAGAUGCAUAAAAUUGUUGAUGGAUACAAGUCCUUUCAAGUUGCAAUCUCUUCCCCUUUUGUCUUAGCUCUUCUAUAUGGCAAAUUGUUGAUCAAAUCUACUGAAACAAGCAUUCUUUUGCCUUGAACGAUCUGGUUCUAUCAGGAUCAAUCUAUUUAUCCUCUUUGUUUUUUUCCCCUCUAACAAAGCCAGUGUGGUGCCUUGUUCUAUUUGGAUUCUACUUGUGGUUAGAUUGUGCUUAGUUGAAUUCACUUCUAAUUCUUUUUUCAUUUUGGGAUGAUUUAGGUUUUGCUGAAGGUGAAACUAAGUGCAAAAUGCUCUAGAAUGUUCCACAUCAGAUUGUGCAAUCUCCAGCUCGGCUAGGGUUACCAAAUCCAAAUUCACCUUCUCUUCAAAACACUACUCCGGCUAAGUUUGCCUCCCAAGCCCAACAAUCUCAUCCGCCAAAUCAACAGUCAAAUGCAUCAAGCAUUAUUUCAACUUCUUCAACACUGCUUCGUCUCCUUCCCCCUCUGCCAAGAGCUCAGUCUAUUCUUCUGCAAAUGUCCUCACUUGCCUCAAGACUUUUUGAUGUCUCACCUAAUAGGUCGCAUUGGAUUAGCGCAUUUCGAGGUUCCCUACCCUCCUUCUUGUCUUCCCAAUCCCAACCUUUGACAUCAACUGCACCAGAUUCCUACCCUUCUUCCUCCAAAGAAAUUCUCGCUCUUUUCACAAACCUUCAAACUCAGCUAUUUGAAGCUGUUGCAGAGCUCCAAGAAAUUCUUGAUCUUCAAGAUGGAAAACAGAAACUCUCGCACGAAAUCAGGUCAAAAGAUGCUGCAAUUCUUGCACUUGCAAGCAAGCUCAAAGAAGCUGAGCAGGUUCUUGACAACCUUGUGGAUGAUUACUCGGAUUAUCGCCGUUCAAAACGGUCCAAGUCAGAAGAUGUUGCAGAAGAUUCUUCAACCACCACUGUGGCAUCUCAGCUGAAGCUUUCUGAUAUAUUGUCAUAUGCCCAUAGGAUAAGCUACACUACUUUUGCACCACCAGAAUUUGGUGCUGGACAGGCUCCUCUCCGUGGGGCACUCCCCCUGCUCCACAGGAGGAGCAAAUGCGGGGCAUCCCAACUGUACGCUUUUGCUGAUCAUGAUGUUGGUUUACCAAAAACAGAUGAGGAUAAGAAGAAAACUAUAGAGCCAUUGAUCGAAACUCCUGUUGGGCAACCAGCAGAGCCAAAUCCAUUGGCCAAUCUUGCUGGAAUGCAGGGUCUACUUCCACCUAAUAUUGCUGUGCCACCAGGAUGGAAACCUGGAAUGCCCGUGGAGUUGCCCAAUGAUCUACCUAUUCUUCCUCCACCUGGUUGGAAGCCCGGUGAUCCAAUGGCACUGCCCCCAUUGGAUUCUCUUCCUAUACAUCCUGGAAUUGAAGAGCAACAACCUCAGCAUAUCUCCCCUCCAAUGCUUACAAAGACACCCGAGCCUAUACAAGUUCGGCAUGUGCAGCUUGACAUUGACGAUGAUAGUAGUGAUUAUAGCAGUGAUGUUGGUAGCUCUGACAGUGAAGAUUAGUCCUAGACUCCAGUGCUUUUAUGUCGAUGUAAAUUCUGAAAUGCUACGUAGAGCAUCUUUCAAAGAGGAUUGAAGUUGCUAUCUCUAGCCUGUACUUUCUGCUGAUGAAAUUGAAGUUUUACUAGAAUUCUGCAAUUCCUCAAAGAUUGUCUAACUGUGUUUGCAUACCUAGAAUAUUCUUUCAAUUUGCUGAACAUUUCUCGCAAUCCGUUCUAGUACUGGUUUUGAUUCUAAGGUGUUAUUGGAAGCCUAGUUGAGUGAGCAUGAUCUUUUAAAUUUGUGACAAUAUGGACCAGUACACUGAUAUUACACACUUAUGUAAUGUUUUUAUGUAGAUUCUGAGGCAAUAGAUUUUAAUGUUUUACCUUUGACAUACUUUUGUGAUAGUUGAUCAUCUUCUGGACAGUCGUACGUAUAUUGUGUCUUCCGCAAGAUGAGGAACGAAUGAAAGCAGAAAAGCUGUACCUUUUCCUCAGUCAAUACAUCUAAGUACUUCCUAUUUGGGCUGAUAGGUGGGAAUUUACUUAGGUUACUCCAGACAUCCUAACAUAGGAAUAUUGUACUCAGGUUCGUAACACGCUGUAUAAGGGUACCGAUUUGUGUAGCUGUAAACAUAAAAGCAUUUUUCAUCGCAGUCGCUCUAGAAUCUUAAUGCUUGAUGAUUGACAAACGUUUGUUAAAUGAGAUGUAAAGUUAUCAAUGAAUAUGUUGUAAAGAAUUAAAUCAACUGAUGUAAGAAAUGUUGAAGUAGCAGGUGUUGGCAAAAGAGAAAAAAAAAUUGCUUGUUUUAAAGGGAAACUGAAGCAUAAUUCCCUGCAAAGAUCACAGGACAAAUAGGAAAACAAGUUGAGGAGGAAAAAAAUUCACAAAAUUUUCAGAUACUUGUCAGCCCUUGUGAGGUCGCGGACAUUAUAGCAGAAUCAUCUAAGAAAUGAAAAUCCAAGUUACAGAUUGAUGCAGUACAGAAAUUACAGUUUUGGCAAUGGAAAAAAAUUCAAGGGUUGGCUGCAAUAGAAGUUUUCUUCUCUGCCAUGACAAAUUCAUUAGAUUUUAGUAUAGGCAUUGCUCUUCUGGUGUUGGUUGUUGCUUGUGCCCUGAAUGCUCUGAUGUUUCUGACAGCAAGGUUUAUGAAUGAAUGAAUCCCUAUUAUAUGUUGUCAUAGUCAAAUCUUUACGUGACGUGAGAGAAGUACAAAUCCUCUGAUACAUGCAAUCCAAUCCUCACUACUAAUCUGACAUCUAAGCUAAUUUGACUGAAAUAAGAAUGUAUUAUUAAUGAUGAUGAAGAAGAUGAUAUGUACAAUUUUACAUGGCACCGAGCAGCAGCCUAAAGAAAUCUAACUUAAUAAUCGCGAAUAUUACCACAUCCGCAACGACUCGCUCUAUUGAACGAUUCGAAUCCGUGAUGCAUGAUAUCGGCCGAUACAUCCGAGUUAACUUGGAGUCGAUUUGGAUAUUUUUUUAAAUUGUGUCCUUUUUGGUAUUUUCUAAUUUUAUUAAUUUUUUCAAAAUUUUUGGAAACUUUCAUGUGUUAUAAUGUGCGUAUCACCCGAUAUUCAUCCGUUAUGCCGCGAUGGAUGUGGAACAAUCGAUACCGCGAUGCUACCGCGACCCGCGAUGGCGAGCCAUGCAUGAGCCUAAAAUGUUCCAAUUUCAGAGAAAGCAUUAAACUUUGAAGAUUCUCCACCUUUGAUGUCUGGUACAGAACAGACACAUAUGUCUUUAGAUUGAAGGGCACCAGCAAUGAAAGAAUUGUCGUAGGCAAUCAUAUGGAGAUAUGUUUUGCUAAGAGGACACUUACUUGGUUGUAUCCAUGGUUCAAAGACUCGGCCGAGUCGUCACUGGAACGGGGCUUCCCGAUCCGAUAUUGGGACGAGAUGACUCUGAUAUAAUGAAUCGUCGAGAAAUCGGCCGAGACGGAUGGAAACGGCCGAGUCGCGCCCGAAUCAUCCCGAGUCAGCUCGAUAUUUUAUUAUUUUUGCUAAAUUUUUAAUUAUUUUUUUAUCAUAAUUUUUUACAAUUUUUAGAAUAUUAAAUAUUUCAAAAAUUUGUGUCUCGCCGAGACCGUGACGGAUAAGUCGAGACAGAUGUGGAACGGUACGAACCGCGACCGCAACCGCAACCAUGACUUUGAACCAUGGUUGUAUCACAUUCUGAACACUCACUGCAGAGGAGAUGACUCUCUAGCCCUACUACACUUUCAGCACCAAUAACCAUCAGAGGCAGCAACAAACCAUAAAAGCUGCUUCUAAUAUCUAUGUUCCAGGUGCUUGUAAUGUGUCCUACCCUGCUCUUGUCUAAAAUUCUAUCCGAAGUCUCAGAUUGAUCGCAAGUAAUAUAAAAGUCUGUCUGAAUUCCCGGAUUGAUCACCAAGUAAUAUAUAAUUUGGCCAUUGUUCCUUGGUCGUUUCAACUCUAUUCAAUGAAUACGGAGUUAACUAGCUAAACUUAAAGAAGAUCAAAUUUUCAAUACUGAAAGAGUCAGCUUUCGCUAAUAUCUGAAAUGUCACCGUAGUUAACUAACAACCUUGAAGCAGUUUGGAAGCAGUUGCAAUUCAUUUGUUCUAUCAGGCAAACAAUAACACAAUCGUUUUAGGUUGCUUUUCUUUUCUUUUACACCUUUGCAAGUCAUCCCAAAAAACCCAAUUGCUGGAGUUGAAUAAAAGACCAACAACAAACUCAGCACAGGCUUUAAGAUUCUCAAUUUCUCAAGCCCGUAUCAAUCAUGAUUCAUCUCAACUCUAAUGUACGCCUGCCUGCCUGUAGAUGCUAGGGACUGUAGAAAGUAGAAACUGAUUAACCUUCGAGUUUAUCCCUUUAAUUAUGACAGUCCAUUUCAACUUGCAUACGUAUGUCCCUACUUUGUCUAUUAAGUACUUUUAUCAUGUUUGAACUGGUGAUAGACAUGUCCAUCCUGCUAUUUGAAAUCAAAACUAACAUUUCCUGCUACCAACCAAUAAGAAGAGUCGCGUGAUCAAGUAUUUUUGGGCUCUUGAAGAGAGGAAUAUCCCAUCGCAUAUGCCUCCUUUUAAAUGAGUGUAUGGAAGGUUCCAGUGAAUUUGAACAACAUUAACACAGCUUUCAUUCAAUAUCACUCAAACUUGAAACUCUAGCAUCUUGGUACCAGUACAGGCGUGAAUGUGUUUGUUGAUGGUUAUCUGACCUUCAUGUAGUCAAGACCAUGGUUCAAAGACUCGGCCGAGCCAUCACCAGAACGGAACUCUUCGUUCCGAUACAGAGGCGAAAUGACUCCGAAAUACAUUAAUCACCGAGAAUUUGGCCAAGAAGUCUCCGACACCGUGUCAUCCUGAGUUCAGCAUAUUUUGUCUAUAUUAUUUUGUUGCUUUUGCUAAUUUUUUAUUAUUUUUGUUUAGCAUAUUUUUUUAAUAUUAUUACAAACAACUUUUAGAAUAUUAAAUGGUUCAAAAUUUGUGUUUCGUCGACACGGUGAUAUAUAUAUCGAGACCGAUGAUGUGAAACGGUCAGAAUCGCGACCGCAACCACAACUUUGAACCAUGGUCAAGACUCAAGAUUGAGUUUUCUCCUUGGUCCUUGCCAGAUUCUGGUUAGAUGAUCAUCAACAAACAUAUUCAGAGAAACCUGCAAAUCAGCUUGCUUUGACACUUAAUCCAAAUCAACAAUUUGUUGGAUCAGAUUGCAGCAUGAUAAUAAAUUUCUCGUGAUAACCUUAUCUAUCAGCUAUUGCAUGAAUUUGUAAUUCAUCCAUACCGUUUCUUUUUGCAGGCCUGCCAUAUUUUUCUCUAAGCUGGGAUGUAAUGCAAGCCCAACAAAUCAUGCUUGUUCAGAUUCAGCUGUGUACUUGCAUACUUCCUGCUCUUGGUUAACAUGCAGUAUAACAAAUCUUAAGGCUUCAAUAUCAUUUUACUAGUGGAUCACUCUCAAUUACUUGCUAAAUUUUAAUUUCAUGUUGUACCAUCAAGCUCUUACUAAGUUUUCAGUGCACUUUUUGCAUCUGGAUCAAUUGCUGCUCAGUCGUCCCUUCUUUUACCUUCUCCUGCACAAUUGCUGCUGUUCCUUCUUCGAAACAAGUUUGGCCUAAAGAUCAGGUAUGGAAUUAGUUUCCUAUUCUUUCAUUCUUGGGUUUUCCUUACAUUGAUUUUGUUCCAUGGAUUUUGCUUAUGAAUAUGUUUUUUUUUGUGGUCCUAGUGCGAUUUGGCUGCAAAUUUUGAUUCACUGAUACAAUAAUAAACUCAUAACUCUAAGGGUCUGUUCGAUUGGACAGAAAACAUUUUCCAAAGUUUCUACUGUUGAGAUAUGAUUUCUGACGGCAUCUCCAGAAAUCACACCCUUUUCUUUUCACAGUCUGUAACUGAAAAAGAUGAUUGAAGACUAUCCAUAAAAGACCAUCGGCAGCGACAUCUCAUCGGCAAACCAAUCCCUUCUUCGCCGACAGCAUCUCCAGCUCCGGCGGAGACCCACUUUCAGAGGUAAGCUACUCCUCCAAUAAGGUUAUUCUCCUUUUAAAAAUCAGCUACAAUUAUCAUCUCUCUCUCUCUCAUUUUUUUUCUUUAAAAGCAGCCAAUAUCAAGGCUCAUCCCCACUCUGGGGGCGAUAUCUCAUCCCUGUUCCUGCAACAGCAUUUCCAACAGGGGUGAAGACUCCUUAACUAUUUCCAGAGGUAUGAUGAUCUCUUAUUAGUUUUUUUCCGCCAUUUUCCUUUGAAAAAUUGUCUAGAAUUACUGGUGUAGGUUCUUGAAGUUGGAUUGGAAUGAAUUUUUGUGGGUUGCUUUUGUUUUAGUUUGCUCUUACCUGAUUAGGGUUACAUUUGAUUUGAUUGAUGCUAAUGAAUUAAUUUGGCUGCUGAAUUUUGGGCAUUUUAUGAUUCUUGGAAUCUGAUUAUUAAUCUUGGUGCUCUUGUCUCGACUCUCUAACUUGCUCCGAAUCCAGGUAGGGUAGGGUAGUGUUUUUCUUACAAUCUGGUGAGACCAUUUGUAAAAGUUUUAGUGCAUUCAUUGAGUUUGUGAAGCCACGGGCGGAUUCUUGCCAUAGGUGCUUGAUUGAAAAAGGAGUUAUUUAAUAAUAUAAGUCAAAACUUUGAAACCAAAAAAAAAAAAAAAGAUCCUUCCCCCAAGUCUAUCGGAGCAGCCUUAAACUUUUCAGUUCCAUUAACUUAAUAUAACCGUGGAAACACAGAAUGCUUUGGAUAUAUUCCCAAAUCAGUGAAUGUUUUGACAUAGCAACAAGCGAAUCACCCAAUGGCAAUGACGACUCUGUCGUAAAAUGAUCACUGAGGUUUGUCAUCUUGGCAAAUACAAGAAACCACAAAUAAGUAUUCUACUAAAGAAGAUGCGGCCAGAAGUAAAACCGGACUUACACAGGACAUAGUCCAUAGACAUCAUCGGGGAACUGGGGACAAAAUCACUAAAACAGAAAAAGGUACUUGCUGGGUUUAUCUUGUUGGGUUGUUAAGCAAUGCUAGCUUCUAUAAGGGCUGCACAAAUCUUUUAUUUAUAGCAGUACUUAUCAGCGUUUAAUUUCGGAUAGACUCAUGAAUUCCUUUGGUCCUUUUCUCGAGCAACGAAUAUAUUGAUGGAGUUCUUGUUUGUUGGCAAAUUUCAAAGUCUUCAUUCCCUGUCAAGGUUAGACUUCGUAGUUCUCUAAAACGUCAAGAUUAUUUGGAAAUGUUGCAGCAUCUUUCCCUGUUUCUGAUGAUAUCUCUAUCUGCCCUAAAUCAUUUAAUCUUAUCAUUUAUCACAUGUAUUCUGCUUGCUUCAUCACUUGACUUUAUUUCCAAGUGCCAAGUUCCAACUUGUUGAAUAUCAAGAAAAAAACCUUAUUCUGGUCCCAUUUUGGCAUUUUCAAGUUAGAAGCUUUUGUUUUUCUAAGGAGUAAUACUUGUACACAUUUAGCUGAGGUUAUGUCCCUAAUUUUAGAAGCAUGUAAAUCUAAAGUCACAUUGUUUAGACAUUUAAAAUAAUAAGCCUAGAACUUUUAGACCAGGACAAACAAUGAGGGAGAGCACCUGAUUGCCCAUUUUCUUUCAAAUUAAUCUUACAAUUUGGUUCCUCCCAUGUUUAAGAUAUCUGUCAAUUGAAACCCAUGCUUGAGUUAGUGUUUCCCCAGAUUAACAUACUCUCUAGUAAAACGACAACAUCAAAUCUUAGCAUUGUAAAGUUUUUUAUUGGAUGAGCACAAUAUAGCCAGGUGUACCAACAGUCGAAUAAGCCUGUAAUGUACCAACAUUGAUUACUCAAGGAACUUAAAAGAUUCAUGCAUCCUUGCCUUGCCCAGUUUCUACAAGAUGUUAUAGCAACUCUUUAAAGAUGGAGCUAUGUAGCAUUUGUUGAUCUUUUAACAUAUUUAAUGAAGUGCAAAGGAUUGUAAUUUCCUCAAGUUGGUCGUUUACUAGGAUUUCCAAAUAGUAAUGGUUGACAAGGACAGACUAGUAGCAAAGAAGUAAAUUUCAUAACCUUUUUUUUAAUCUCAAUUUCAGAUAUAAAAAUUACUCAUUGGAUGGAUUUUGUGUAAAACCAGACUGGUCAUUGCAUUCUCAAACUUCAGUUGUAUAGGAGUAACAGACUUGUGUACUUCCAUCAAUAUGGCUUUUUCAGCACUUAAAUUCGUAAAUUGCCAAAAAGCUCAAAUCUUCUGCUAUCUAUUUCUUUGUGUUGCAUUAGCCUAAAACUUAUGGAUGAUGGAUUAGGAAAGGAAAUAGACAUUUAAUUUUCAUAUCAAAGUUACAAGUUGUUGGUGGCCAUUUUCCAUGGAAGUCUAGAGUUGGGUGCAAUGGGCACAAUAUACGGCCCUCAAUAAAUCCCCACCACAAGCCUUAUUUGAAAAAGAAUCUAAAUGCUAGCCAUAGAUGUCAUUAAGGUUCAGCUUCGUUGAUCUUUCUAUGACCAACCUUUUUGAAGUUUGAAUAGAAUGUUUUCAUGCUGUAGGACAAAGUUGAAGCAAACAGAAGUUGACUACCAGAAUUUUGAUAAUGCCUGAAUCACUUGCUUUAAAAAAGAAAGUUUGUACUUGAUUACACUAAAGUUUUACUGAAUUAUAAUAUACAGUAAUUAAGGGGAAUUAUUAAAGUUUUACUUCAAUAUGCAAGUGAGGUAUGUAUAAACAUCAAUGGUUUCAAACUCGGCCGGACUGGCCGGUUCGACCGCGACCCGACCAUGUGUCCGGUCCGGUUCAUAGCCUAUGGUGACUUGGUCCAAGAACCGGUCAAACUCGUAAAAACCGUUUAAAUCGGAAUGAACCGUGAACCGCGGUUUUUUAAUUUUUGGCAAAAUUGACUGAAUUUUGACGAGUAAAUUCCCAAAAAGAGGGAUUUUUUAAUCUAACUUCCCAAAGGGUGGCGAUUUUUGAGUCUCUUCUCAAAGGGUGAAAAAUGCAUUCAAGGAAUGCGUUUUUUCAAAUAAAAACGUAAUUUUCAAAUACGUUAUUUUAAUUUUCAUAAAUUUAUUUAAAUAGAAAAAAUUGGUUAAAAACGCAUUAGUGGAAUGCAUUGUUUGAUAGAAAACGCAUUUCGCUAAUGCGCUAUUGUUUAAGAAACCCAUUAGAUGAAUGCGGUUUUCGUUUAUCAAUAUGUACCACUUUUUUCCAUUUCUUUGAUCUUGACUUGGGUUAUGUAAGGUUUUUUUUUUAAAAAAAAUAUUAUCUUAUUAUUUUAUGGAAGUUAUUAUUAAUUUAGCUCACUAACACAAGUCAAGAUAAAAAAAAAAUUUAUUUCAUAGUUGUUAUUAAUUUAUCUGGUAUAGAUUUCAUUUCAAGUUUGCAAAGGCUUAAAGGUUUUUGAACUUUGGAUUUUACAUAUGCAUGCACAUAUUUUGUAUCUUAAAUGUUGGUAAUUUGUCUUAAAAAUCGUAACAAUUUUUCUAAAGAAAAUUUUACGAUUCAUAAAAAGUUAAUCCUAAAUAUUUAGUGUAAAAAUAUGAUGGCCCAAAAUGAGUUAGAAUAAUCACAUAUCUUGAAAACUUUAAUCAAAGGGAAAAUUGCGAAACUCCUCUCAUUUUUCCUCAUUUUCAACUAUUUAUAUCACAUGUUAAGCAAAAACUUGCAUAUUCAAAUAUGUCAUAAGGGGAUAUAAUGUCACAUCUAAUUUUAUAUACUAUGUUUACUUGGUUUUCAAUCCAAAUUUUCUUAUACAAUAAGAAUUCUUAUAACAAGACAAGUACCGGGGAUUAGAAUAGAUUCCUAGAUAUGCUAAAAACUCAUUUAGCAAUCAGUUUUUUUUUAUUAAUAAACGCAUUUCCAAAAUGGGUUUUAGGCCAAAAAAUGCAUUCAUUAAAUGAGACUUUUUAAAACAGCGCAUCCCACUAAUGCAUUUUUUAACUAAUUUUUUCUAUUUAAAUAAAUUUAUGAAAAUUAAAAUAACGUAUUUAAAAAUUACGUUUUUAUUUGAAAAUCAUUCGGGGAGAGACUAAAAAAUUACCGCCCUUUAGGAAGUUAGAUUAAAAAAUCCCUCUUUUUGGGAAUUUACUCGAAUUUUGACCGAUUUAUCUAAACCUAAUCUCCGGUUCACUCUUCAAUCUUCAUUCAGUCUUCUUCUUCGCUGCGCCGCUUCGCCGCUUCGGUCUUCCCACUUCCCCUGCAAUUGCCAAAAUUGCCUGCCGUCCCUAAUCCCUUAUCCAAACUCCAAUCUUUGAUCCAGUGCUAUUUCCACACUUGCUCAUCGAUCAAUACCCAAUUUCUUCCCGUUAGAUUUUCCUCCAGGAAUUUGGGCGAUAACCAGUUCACUGACCUACCUCACUGUCAAAGAAUAGCGGCUUAAAUUUAGUGUAAGCUUGCUCAAACUUUAAUCUCAUCCUCGUUUUGGUUCCAUUAUAUAGAGUUUUCUGUUAGAUGGAUAAACUGCUUGGUUAUAAAAGUUUAGAAACUUUUAGAGGUAAGUUUAGAGGUAAGCAACUUACCUCUGGAUUGCUGCUUGUCACUGGUAAGUUUAGAAAUCUUGCAUUUCUUUACGUGAUUUUGUUUUUGGUUUUUAGUCUUAAUUUAAAAAAAUUUGUGGGGUUCUGAGUCCUUGGUGGUGUUUAAUGAAUUGCCGUAAAAAAGAUUUGAAAGUAAUUUUAAUUGUUUCCUUUGUGUUAAAAUUUCAAGUUUCUUGCUGAUGAUAUAAUGCAGCGAUUGAGUUGUAAACUUGUGGGAUUCUGUGGAAAUAAUUGCAUCUCUAAUUUGAUGCCUUUUCUAAGGUCAAAUGGUUUUUGAUAAACAAUUUGAUGGUUGUCUGAUGAGUAUUAGGUUACAUUAUAUGGAAUUCGUAUGGUUAAAUUUGGGCAGUUGUAGCAUAUCUUCUUAGGUCCAACAGCUACUGAUUGGCUUAGAAUGGAGGUGCUACUGACAAAAUGUUGGAAGGAUGAAGAUAAAACAAUGGUUUUAACUUAAUUAAUGUAGAUGAGAUUUUACUUAACCUAAUGUAGAUGAGUCUGUUUUGUCUUCUGUUGGACGUGAGCUGAGUAUAUGGUUUCAAAGGGCUUCCAUAUUGACGUGCUAAUCCAAAGUCACAGAUCUUCAACUCACCACAAUUAUUUAAAAGUAUAUUUGAUGUCUUUAAAUCUCUGUGCAAAACCCAGUUAUCAUGAAGAUACUUAACACCCUCAAGAAGCUGAAGCAUGAGGCACUUAACUUCACUCUCCCUAAACGGUUGUUUCAUUGUCUCCAUUAACCACUUCAGAUCUUUGGUGACAGUUUCAGUUCCCAAAUACAAAUAGUCUUAAGCAUCAUUGAUUCUACUAAAAUUAUUGCAUUGCAUCAAAAUUUAUAUCUUAUAUUGCAUUGCAUCAUUGGUGACAGUUUCAGUUUUUUUGUUAAUUCUAAUAUUUAGACAAUUGGACAUAUAAGUUGGAUAACUAUGAUAUUGCUCUUAUUUUAAUUGUGGUUUAUCAUUUAUAUCUUAUUUUGUGCAUAGGUGUGUGUGUGUGUCUAUAUAUAUAUAUAUAUAUAUAUAUAUAUAUAUACAUAUAUAUAUUUAUUUAUUUAUUUAUUGAACCGGGGUUGAGCCGGUCCGACCGGUUGAACCUCGACCCUUUCAUUUCACCGGUUCGAUUAACAGUCCGGGUUUUAAAACAUUGAUAAACAUUGAUAUAUGAGAUAUUCAUUGAAUAAUAAGUUGAGAUUCAUGCAUCCUUGCCCUUUCAACUUACUUGGAUUGCACUCUUUGAAUGACUUCCUUCUAAAAGACUUCUCGUCCUUUUCUAAAAGUAUUUGGCCCUAAAAAAGACCUCAAUGAUAGUGCAUUGCACUACCAUUGAACUUCAACAAAUAUAUUGCCAUCACGAAUUCAUACACUUACUAGUUCUUUAUUUUUACAGAAAUAAUAUAGUCAAAAGCUACCUUCUUGGAAUCUGAUUAUUAAUUUCAGUGGCUUUUAUCCAUUGGGAACUUGCACUUGCAAUUCUGACUAUCUUUAAAGAUUUGGGGGUGGAGAGUUGCUUGACUGCUUUUAUCCAUUGGGAACUUGCACUUGCAAUUCUGACUAUCUUUAAAGAUUUGUGGUGGAGAGUUGCUUGACUUAGGCUUUCAGUUUGUUCAUUUGGAGCAGAGUUUGUUCUUUCGGAUAUGGACUAUCCAGGAAGUUGUAAUUGAAUAUGUUUGUUGCUGUUGUUGAUGGAUUAUCAUUUUUUCCUCCUAAGCUUCUUGUCGAUUUCAAUUGUUGGCAUUUGCUGGUGUUCUAGUGUUGUAUACUAGUUUGUUUAGAGCAAUGUCCUUUAAUGAUUUUGUGAAGCUGCACAAUGGACAUGGGAACUUGGACUGUUUCAUUAUGCUUACAUUCUUGUUUUUUGUUGUAAUCAGUGGUUAUUGCUUGUAGUAUGAUCAGAUGAACAAGAUGUUGAUUGUGACUAUUUAAAGACACUAAGCAAUUUUCUUUUGGUGGAAACUGACCCUUGGAGAGUGCUCUGUUUCUUCUGUCUAGAGCCAUAGUUGUCAAAAGAAGACAUAGUUGUUAGAAUCAAUGUUGCAGACCUGACUGCAUAAUGUUGGCAAGUUGUGUAUUGAUGUAAAUUCCUAGGAUAAAGGUUUCAGUUGUGAUUAUUUUCUGAUUCAAAGGGUGUAGGUAUUGGUAAUGGUUGUACUGAGGUAUUCUGCUUGGCUUGUUGCUUAAGUUGAUCAUCUGCUUACAUCAAAGAUGAAUUAUUCUUUCUUCAAUUUUGUGUCUUAAAUGACUGCAUGUUUUGUGGUAUUCUGCUUGGCUUGUUGCUUAAGUUGGUCCUUAAAGAAGAUGAUAAUUAAUUUUAGUUACCUGAUACCAAAUAUCAAGUUGGUUGAUGACCUGGAUGCACAUUUUGUGGCAAAAAUUAUUUAUGGAUUCUAGUUUAUACAGCAUAAAUAAAGGUUGAUUUGGAGAGAAUAUUGCACAGCUUGCUAAGUUUUGGGUUUUGGAGAAGACGGUGCAGCACUUGAAGAACUUAAGUUUUGUAUAAAAUUGUUGAUGGAUACAAGUCCUUUCAAGUUGCAUUCUCUUCCCCUUUUGUCUUAGCUCUUCUAUAUGGCAAAUUGUUGAUCAAAUCAACUGAAACAAGCAUUCUUUUGCCUUGAACGAUCUGGUUCUAUCAGGAUCAAUCUAUUUAUCCUCUUUGUUUUUUUCCCCUCUAACAAAGCGCCAGUGUGGUGCCUUGUUCUAUUUGGAUUCUACUUGUGGUUAGAUUGUGCUUAAUUGAAUUCACUUGUAAAUCUUUUUUCUUUUUGGGAUGAUUUAGGUUUUGCUGAAGGUGAAACUAAGUGCAAAAUGCUCCAGAAUGUUCCACAUCAGAUUGUGCAAUCUCCAGCUAGGCUAGGGUUACCAAAUCCAAAUUCACCUUCUCUUCAAAACACUACUCCGGCUAAGUUUGCCUCCCAAGCCCAGCAAUCUCAUCCACCCAAUCAACAGCCAUAUGCAUCAAGCAUUAUUCCAACUUCUUCAACACUUCUUCCUCUCCUUCCCCCUCUGCCAAGAGCUCAGUCUAUUCUUCUGCAAAUGUCCUCACUUGCCUCAAGACUUUUUGAUGUCUCACCUAAUAGGUCGCAUUGGAUUAGCGCAUUUCGAGGUUCCCUACCCUCCUUCUUGUCUUCCCAAUCCCAACCUUUGACAUCAACUGCACCAGAUUCCUACCCUUCUUCCUCCAAAGAAAUUCUCGCUCUUUUCACAAACCUUCAAACUCAGCUAUUUGAAGCUGUUGCAGAGCUCCAAGAAAUUCUUGAUCUUCAAGAUGGAAAACAGAAACUCUCGCACGAAAUCAGGUCAAAAGAUGCUGCAAUUCUUGCACUUGCAAGCAAGCUCAAAGAAGCUGAGCAGGUUCUUGACAACCUUGUGGAUGAUUACUCGGAUUAUCGCCGUUCAAAACGGUCCAAGUCAGAAGAUGUUGCAGAAGAUUCUUCAACCACCACUGUGGCAUCUCAGCUGAAGCUUUCUGAUAUAUUGUCAUAUGCCCAUAGGAUAAGCUACACUACUUUUGCACCACCAGAAUUUGGUGCUGGACAGGCUCCUCUCCGUGGGGCACUCCCACCUGCUCCACAGGAGGAGCAAAUGCGGGCAUCCCAACUGUACGCUUUUGCUGAUCAUGAUGUUGGUUUACCAAAAACAGAUGAGGAUAAGAAGAAAACUAUAGAGCCAUUGAUCGAAACUCCUGUUGGGCAACCAGCAGAGCCAAAUCCACUGGCCAAUCUUGCUGGAAUGCAGGGUCUACUUCCACCUAAUAUUGCUAUGCCAUCAGGAUGGAAACCUGGAAUGCCCGUGGAGUUGCCCAGUGAUCUACCUAUUCUUCCUCCACCUGGUUGGAAACCUGGUGAUCCAGUGGCACUGCCCCCAUUGGAUUCUCUUCCUAUACCUCCUAGAAUUGAAGAGCAACAACCUCAGCAUAUCCCCCCUCCAAUGCUUACAAAGGCACCCGAGCCUAUACAAGUUCGGCAUGUGCAGCUUGACAUUGACGAUGACAGUAGUGAUUAUAGCAGUGAUGUUGGUAGCUCUGACAGUGAAGAUUAGUCCUAGACUCCAGUGCUUUUAUGUCGAUGUAAAUUCUGAAAUGCUACGUAGAACAUCUUUCAAAGAGGAUUGAAGUUGCUAUCUCUAGCCUGUACUUUCUGCUGAUGAAAUUGAAGUUUUAUUAGAAUUCUGCAAUUCCUCGAAGGCUGUCUAACCUUUCAAUUUGCUGAACAUUUCUCGCAAUCCGUUCUAGUACUGGUUUUGAUUCUAAGGUGUUAUUGGAAGCCUGGUUGAGUGAGCAUGAUCUUUUAAAUUGACAUUACACUGACAUUACACACUUAUGUAAUGUUUUUAUGUAGAUUCUGAUGCAAUAGAUUUUUAUGUUUUACCUUUGACGUACUUUUGUGAUAAUUGAUCAUCUUCUGGACGGUCGUACAUAUAUUGUGUCUUCCGCAAGAUGAGGAACGAAUGAAAGCAGAAAAGCUGCACCUUUUCCUCAGUCAAUACAUCUAAGUACUCCCAGAAAAUCAGCUGAAUCAGUGCCUUCAUAAAAAAGCAUUUCAGUCUUCGCAGCAUCAAGAGGAAAUUGGGAUUGUCACAGGGAAUUGGGGUUGCGGUGCUUUUGGUGGAGAUCCUCAACUUAAAGCUAUUAUUCAGUGGCUUGCUGCUUCUCAGGUGAUGCCUUCUACGGGCUUCAUUUUCAGCUUCUUUAUGUGGUGCAAUGCACCAAGUGUGAUUAACUGAUUCCAUAUUGGACAUUAUGACAUUUUGCUAGUCUGGAAAGAUUUAUUUACUGUGUUCUGUUUUCUGUUCUAAUUCUUCUUUCUCAGUCUUAUAUUCCUAGUAAAUAUUAGAUAUCCAUGUUAAUUGUCAGGUGAACCAUUUCUAUAUGUUAUUUGAUAAUACUGAGAAAGUUGCUGAGCUAUUUUGAGCUAAUGUAUUGCCUUGCGGAAAAAAUGGAUCUGUCAUGAUGUUGUGUUUAGUCCAAAUUUAUUCUGAGAUUGCUUCUUGAUAUAUGCUGCUCUUUACUUACGUCUUCGUUUCUGUCAUCAUGAUUGAAUUCUUGAAAGAAUUGCAAACAUGUGACUUACUAAAUCCUUUCUACUGCUGUUGUAAUGGAAUCUGGUUUAGGAAUGGAUGCUUGGCCCGUAUCCUAUUUGUGUAAUACCAUAAUUAUUUGACAUACAAUAUGGACAUUCUUUCUCUUUCCGAAGACAUCAGUUCAUAGAUUUCGUGCAUUUUGUUAUCAACUGGUUUUAUUUAGUCUUCUCCUUUCAGUUCUUCUAUGAUUUUUCUGAUAUUGUCCUAUGUUCCAGGCAUUAAGACCUUUCAUCUUGUACCACACAUUUGGUUUGGAGACAUUGGAGGUGCUAGAUCAGGUACUUAACUUCUGCCAGCUGUAAAUGAUGUUUAACGUAUUGAUUUGAAUGUAUAUGAGAUUUUUUCUCUUUUUUUUUUAUUGUUUUUCUGCUGAAUAAUGGAUUUCUGUUUUAGGAGCACCAAAAUAAGUAAAGGACAAGUGGUCUUGGUUACUUUGUCAGCUUUAAGUAUGUGGCCUUAAAAAAGGAUGAUCUUUGGAGUAUUUCUUUGUAUUCAGACACUUACCCCCUCCAUCAUAAUUUGUUCUUCACUUCUGGGUCCCAAUUCCUAUUGCACUUACCUGCACAAUUCUCAUGUAUAUCCACAUGCACUUGUAGUCAGCUUCUUCAAGGCCAAGCUAUAAAAAGUACACGAUUGACCACUAUUUGUGCAUUGUUAUUUCGAAAGGGGUUUCCUAAAAGUGAAGAACAAACUGUAUUCUAGUCCUGCAAUCUUCUUUUAGAGAUGUGAUCAAAUGGUCAAAUUGUGACUAAGUGUGGUGUCUCCUCCAAGCAUUUUCUUAAUGCUAAUCUUAAAAGGCAAACUAUCCUUUGGUUGGUUACCUUUGCCAAGGUUUAGUUUGCCCCUUUGACUCAAAUUCAUUUGGUCCAUUUAUUAACUAUAGCUCAAAGAUGGUUGCCAUUAUCUUUUGGAGUUCUUCUGUUAAAUUUAUUAUCAUUUCUUGAACAAGGAACUUCCCUUGUUUUUAAGGUUGUGGCAGACUAAGUUCAAAUUCAAAAAGUAACAAAUCGGUGGUGAAGGAGCACGGUUGAAACUUUACCAAAUUUAGUGCUCGAUGAUGUGGCUGUUGCAUUUCAAAUACUGAAAUAAUUUCUUGUCAAUUGUUUAUGCUGCUGGAUACUGUGUCUCCUGCACUUUGCGAAUUAUAGGUCUAACACGCGGCCUAUUAUUCAUUAGAUUCUUAGAUCUGACUGAUUGAACUUUGGACCACCUUUCAUUAUUUUAUGGAUGGACACUUUCUUUUCAUGCCCAUUGGUUGUUGACAAUUUCUCUUUUAGGUGACUCGCUGGAUUAUAUCCCAUGAGUGGACUGUUGGAGAACUUUGGAAUAUGAUGGUUGAGUACGGAUCCAAGAGAUUAAAAGGUGAAGCCAGAGUUGGCUUUUUCAGUUGGCUCCUUCCCUUGGUAGAUUCCAAUGAUGCAUGAGCUGUUGGGCAUCACCUCAAUCUUCAUGAGAUUUACUGAGCAUUGACCAAAAUUUCUUCUUUGGUGGGCACUUUCUUGGCUUGGUGCGGCUCAUAUUUGAUUCACUAUGGAAGACUAGCAUAGUGUAAAUGCUUUCACUGUUAGUUGCACUGUGGAAAUAUAGAAUACUCGGCAUAAUUUUUCCCUAUAGGGGUGCGUGGUCUGUGUAUCUGAGGGACAUUUUAUUGUUCGUUAGUGACAAAAAAGAAGUGCAUCUGGAGUUGCUCUGCGCCAAUGGUUGAUUUUGUCUGACCCAAGAUCUCCUUUGCAAUUCACCUGUAAGGGAGAAUGGAUGAGCUCAAGGGCAGGUAAAAUGAAGGCAUUCUAGCUAUUCAUUGAACAAGAAAAUGACAGGAGAGGGGGGGUUGCAUGCACGGAGAUGGAGGGUAUUUACUAUCUGCUGCCCACUGCCCCGGAUUUGAAACUGCUGUGGAAGCAUAUGCGAUCAAACUCUGGCUUGCGACAGCAACUCUGCUGCUAUCAGAAUUUGUUGGUUAGAAAGCUUUGUCCAUAACCAACCUAGUUAUGAGGAUCUAACCCGCAUUCAUGUAAUACCUUUCUUUCUUGUUUAGUGAACGGAGGCUCGUAGAAUUCGCUGAAAGAUAGGAUCAGCUGUUUGGUACGUCUCCUUUUGUACCUAUAAUUAAGUCUAUACACGUUAGGAUGAGGUUCAAAAGUUACCAUUCAUACAAGGACCAUUAAUUUGACAUAUCUUUUACUUCCACAAAAUAAAAUAGGGGAAAAAAAUUCUCAUUACUGAAAAUUGGUCUACACAAACUAGGGCUGUUCACGAAUUGGAUUGCGAGCGCCUCGAAUACGAGCUCGACUCGAGCUCGGUCAAUAUCAAGCUCGAGUCGAGCUUGAGCUCAAAAACAUUAAGAUCGUUGGCUCGCGAGUUCGAUUAUAUGUAUGUAUCUUUUAUUUUUUAUUUUAAUAGUAAAAUUACAUAUAUAUUCUUAAUAUUUUAUUAUUUGUUAAGAAAAAUUAUUAUUUUAUUUAUUUUUAAAAUAAAAUAAUUAUUUUUUAUUUUUUAAAAAUAAAAUAAUUAUUUUUAUUUUUUAACCUCGAGCUCGACUCAAAUUUGAGUUCGUUGAGCUCGAGCUCGAGCUCGAGUUCCAGUUUUGUAAAAUUAACUAGAGGUUCGGUUCGAUUAGAUCAAAACUCAAUUCGACUCGAUUCGUUUGCACCCUUAACACAAACACAAGCAUUGGGUAGAGCGGGAUUAAUUUAAUGCAUGUCUAGACUUGUAAGAGGGUGGUGGAUAAACUUGCCCUGAUAAUGACUUUAGGGGAUUAAUUCUUUCUUUGUGCUUGAUGUUUCAUGAUGAACAUCAAUUUUUUUGUUUGGGGUGGUUUUGAGAGUUCGAGUUUGAAAAUAUUUUUUACCGUUCCAAUGAUUAGCUUAUUGUAAUUUUCCCAUUCCAGGGAUUAUUUUACCUACUUAUAUCCUUUUUUUUUCUUUUUCAAUGCUCUUAGUAGGCCAGAUGCUCUCGUGCUAACUAUCCCAUAAUUUGAAAUUAAAAAAAAAAUCUAAUUUGGCAUCUAAAAGAGGAUCCAAUAUUAGGCAUCUUUUUUCCAAUUUAUGCACUUGAUAAAUAAAAGGAACCAAAUAUAAAAAGAUUUUAGUUGAGCUAAAUUUUCUUAUAAUUGUGGUGACAGCAAGAAUCUUAAGGUAUGAAAAAAAAAUGUUUUGUUAAAUUUUGGAAGUUGUUAUUUUUUGUAUGAAUAAUGGAUAUAUUUUAGGGUUAAUUACAUUUACCUCCCCUGAGGUUUGACCAUAUUACCAAUCAAUCCCUGUAAUUUGUCCAAAUAACGGUCUCACCCUUUGAAUGAUCAAACAUUUAACAAAAACCCCCUUAAUGCCGAAAAUGCCCUUAUUGAGGCCAUAUUGCAUUAAAAAAAGAAUAUAUUUUUAUUUAUUAACCUUCAAGUAAUCCAAAAAAAUAGAAAAAGUUUUUGCUUAUUAUUUUAUAAAAAUCACAUCUUUACUUCCAUAAAUAGUUUUGAAUCAAUAAUUAUUUUAAAUCUUAAAAAUGAAUAUUAAAAAUUAUAUAAAUUGAAAGAAAAAUAAAAAAGAAGCAAUUAUUUUAAAUCCUCAAGUAUGGUUCGAAUUUGUGGUUCAAGGCAUGUUGCGGAGAGCACAAGGCAUGUUUUCCUCAAUUUGAACCAUACUCUAGGAAUUAAAAUAAUUUCUUCUUUUUUUAUUUUUCUUUCAAUUUAUCUAAUUUUUAAUAUUCAUUUUUAAGAUUUAAAAUAAUUAUUGAUUCAAAACUAUUUAUGGAAGCAAAGAUAUGGUUUUUAUAAAAUAAUAAGCAAAAACUUUUUUCUAUUUUUUUGGAUUGCUUCAGGGUUAAUAAAAUAAAAAUAUGUUCUUUUUUUAAUGCAACAUGGCCUCAAUAAGGGUAUUUUCGCCAUUAAGGGGGUUUUUGUUAAAUGUUUGAUCAUUCAAAGGGUGAGACCGUUAUUUGGACAAAUUACAAGGAUUGAUUGGUAAUAUGGUCAAACCUCAGGGGAGGUAAAUGUAAUUAACCCUAUAUUUUAUUGACCCUGUAUAGUAAUGGCCCCAUAAGUAAAUUAACAAGUUAGAUCAAAUAUUUAAUGUAACUAGUAUAAUAAUUGAGGGGCAAUUUUGGCAUAAAAAAAUCUUCUCACAUCUGAAAUUAUUUUCUUAUUGUUGCUUUUUUGAAUUGGAUUAAAUUGUUACAAGAAAAUUAGUUUUAAGGGAGGUUAGUAAUAUUUUUAGAACCUCAGGGGAGGGGCAGUGAAACUAUUAGAAACCUCCCCUGUUAUCCCUAUUAUUGUAUCAUCCUUGCUCCGGAAACCUGCCUUUCCACUGCUAGUGCUGGAGUAGAAAACAGUCGCAGGAUACCAAGUUUUCGGGUUAAUUUCACUUUAUCCCCCCAAACUUUGGACGAUUACUCACUUUAGUCCCUAAACUUCAAAAUGGGACACUUAAGUCACUAAAACUUAUAAAUUUGGACACUUAACUCCCUAAACUUAUAAAAUCGGACACUUAAAUCCCUAAACUCUUAUAAAAUGGGACACUUCGACCACCAUGGCAUUCAGGAUUUUGUUAACAAUUUUCCUUAAUUGGGAGGUAUUUAUAAGUUUAGGGAUUUACUUGUCCUAUUCUAAAGUUUAGGGACUAAAGUGAAUAACCGUCCAAAGUUUGGGGGGACAAAGUGGAAUUAACCCCCAAGUUUGCUGUCUUUUGUAGUCCGUAAGAACUAAGAAAGAAUUGAGGAGACCGGUUUCCAUCGGCAAAGCAAAGAACUUCAGCACUCCACCUCUCUAUCUCUCCUUCUCUGGAUUCAAGCUUUUCACAGUACCAAAACAAAAUACUAUUGUAAGUGGUAAGAAGCCCGCAUUCAAAUCCCUUUCUUGGUUACCACUAAACUUUUGUACCUUCUAUGUGAGUCCUUCUGGAGUUAGUAGUAGUACAAAUAUAUGCAAGUCCUCCCUGCUGCAUGUUGCCUUUUUCGUUUUUUUUUUCCCCAAAUCAAAGUUUGAAUCUUUCUCUGUGAUUUCAAUUGAAAAGUGGACAGCAUCUUUUCCACUGGGGAGUGAGGGGUUGUGGGAGUUUUCCUAUGGAGAUAACCUUGAGACAUCUUCUCAUGUAAUUGUAAUUUAAAGCUUCUCUAUUGUUAUCUAUUUGUCCUUUUCUUUUCUUUUAAUCCUUGGAGAAUUGCACAUUUCCAUUUUUCUGCUACAAAGGAAGGGGUUGCUCUAUGGGGCUUUGUUUGUUAAUUCCACAUUUUGAGGCUCUUGGGUUGGCUGUUGAAAUAAGUAGUCUGUAUUUAGCUGGUAUCCCAUUUUUCAGCACUCCACUGCUGUUGGCGUUUGCUAAAUUCUGAUUUUUUUUCAAAAGGAUCUUUUAGUUUCAUGCCCUUUUAUAUAUAUCUAGCAGCAGAAGAGAUGUCUGUGGCGGCUUCGGCUGCUGCUGCUGCUGUUGGGGCUGGGGCGGUCGCCUUGUUCAGACUAAACAGGUUGCCUUCUUCCCCCUCCACCUCCUCCUGCUCUUGUCUUCUUCUCAAAGGACUCCGAGCUUUUGCACCAUUUCCAUACCGAUACCACUUCGCUUCUUAUUCUACUUCUUCUUUGCUUUCACAAGAAGCAGCAGCUGUUGCUUCCCAACUUCCACGCUCACACGCCGCCAAUACCUCCUCCAAUGUGGUGGAAAUUCUUGAACAGAGAGGCCUGCUGGAAUCUCUCACCAGCGAUAGUCUCAGGUCGGUCUGCUCCUCCUCUGCCCCUAACCAAGCACCUCUUCGAGUCUACUGUGGUUUUGACCCCACCGCUGAUAGCCUCCACCUCGGCAAUCUCCUUGGCAUUAUUGUCCUCUCUUGGUUCCUCCGCUGCGGUCAUCGUGCUGUCGCUCUCAUUGGGGGAGCCACCGGCCGCGUAGGCGACCCUUCUGGCAAGAGUUCCGAAAGGCCUGAGCUUGACCUUGAAACCCUCCAUAAGAACAUUUCUGGGAUUUCCGCCACCAUUUGCCACAUUCUUAGCAGGGCUGCUCCUAUCCCUGAUUCUGUUUCUAUCCUGAAUAAUUAUGAGUGGUGGAAAGAUGUUAGGCUGCUGGAUUUCCUCAAGGAUGUUGGGAGGUAUGCGAGGGUGGGCACCAUGAUGUCCAAGGAAAGCGUCCGCAAGAGGCUUGAAUCUGAUCAGGGCAUGAGCUACACUGAGUUCACCUACCAGAUCCUGCAGGGCUACGACUUUGUCCAUCUCUUUCGCCAAGAAGGAGUCUCUGUUCAGAUCGGUGGCAGCGAUCAAUGGGGCAACAUCACUGCCGGGACUGACCUUAUCCGCAGAAUUCUUCGCGUUGAAGGGGCAGCCCAUGGACUCACAUUCCCUCUCCUCCUCAAGAGUGAUGGUACUAAAUUUGGAAAAUCAGAGGAUGGUGCCAUUUGGCUUUCCCCUUCCAAGUUGACCCCUUAUAACUUUUACCAGUAUUUCUUUUCAGUUCCUGAUGAUGAUGUUGUUAGGUUCCUCAAGAUACUUACUUUCUUGAGCUUGGAGGAGAUUGCACGGCUGGAAAGGGACAUGGAUACCCCCGGCUAUGUUCCCAACACUGCCCAGCGUAGGCUGGCUGAGGAGGUUACUCGCUUUGUACAUGGCCAAGAGGGUCUGGACGAGGCUCUCAAGGCCACUGAGGCUCUGAGGCCUGGGGCAGCUACCAAGUUGGAUGCUAAAACCAUUGAGGGGAUUGGAGAGGAUGUUCCUUCUUGUUCGCUGCCUUACGAUCAGGUCCUGAGUCUGUCUCUGUUGGAUCUCUCCGUUUCAAGUGGAUUGCUUGAGAGUAAAUCAACAGCACGGCGUCUACUCAAGCAAGGAGGGCUUUAUCUGAACAACGGUAGGGUUGACAGUGAGGCGAAAAAGAUUGAGGCAAAUGAUAUUAUAGACGGAAAAGUUAUCCUUUUAUCUGCUGGAAAGAAGAAUAAGAUGGUUGUAAGAGUUUCUUGAUUGCCUUUGCCUUGGAUUAUUUUUCAUUUAUUUUACAUCGCAGAACGUUCAUCAUUGCAAGUUUUGGAUUUGUCUAGAUUAAACAUAUGGACUUAGAUUUUGGUGGAGUUAAUGCUAUUUGGAAUAUCUUUUGUUCCUCUUUUCCGUGAUUAUUGUAUUCUAUUAUAGAUAUUACUUAUCAUUUCAGCAGCUUCACUCUGAUCUGAAUUUUUUCACUAUUAAUCAUUUAUAGUGGAAGUACCUUUCGAAGGCAUUCUCAACUACUGAGAUCGCUUAAGUCUCUUGUUUUUGAAAUUCUCAUUUUGUUUGUUAUCUCAAGAAAAUAGAUAUAGAAUCAACAUAGUCUGUAAUUAUGCACUAAGCAUAGCUCAAGAUGAGGAAUGGGAUAAUCCUCAGUGUUAGGUACAUUUUUGUAAAGCGAAAUUUGGGCCGUUGCCCAACAAUUGUACACUUUUACCUGAUCAAUAUAUAUAUAUAUCUUAUCGUUUCUGGAAAAAAAAAUUAUACUUCAUAAUGUAUAAUAUAUCAUCUAUUGUUAAUAAAAUUUGCAACUUUCUGGACUUCUUGGUUCACUACACUAAAUUGUUUAAUUCAGUGGAGACUGAUGUCGAUCACAGAAUACCUCUUUUCUACAGCAAAUAUUCUCAAAGAUAAUAAGAGAUGGAACGAAGCAUGUGCUGGGUAAAGGAGUUAAAAUCUAUAGCCAUGCCUUGCAGUUCUUCAGAAGGGGUGACUUGAUAAUUCAACUUAUACAAACCUAAACUUUCCCAAGCUGCGGAGAAAUUUUUAAUUUGUUUUGGGCUACAUUAGCUUUUGUUGUCAAAGGGAAGUUUUGAUUUUGAAAGCUAUUGAGAAUUUGGGGGUUGUGGGAAGGUAUGGAACUGCUGUAAAUCCCCUUUACCUACCAAUUUGCCCCGCAUAGCAAUGGCUUUGGCUUGUCUUGUUGGUUUGUCUGUUUAAAUGACAUAAAACAAAUAGAAGUUUUCAUUCUUGAUGGUACAAUAUGUGUCAUGUAAUGGUAAACAUUCAAUAUUCUCCACUCCCUUUAAGGACAAAAGAUUGGUGCCCUAUUUUGGCAGCAUCAUUUGGUGGGAACAGAGAAGCAAGUUUCUUUUAGUUAUUAUCUGAAUUUAUGCUCCCGGAUGAUUGUUGAAAUGAUGUGAGUCAGCUGAUUCUCAGUUGAAGGAUAAAAAUUUGUUAUGAAUAUUAGUUGCUAGUUCUUCAAUGGUAAAGGUUCGAAUGCUAAAUUAACAUGCUUCAAAAAAGUUCUUAUAAUUCCUCUGAAGACAUAUUUCCUAGUAUUGAUAGCAAGAAACAAAAAAGCUUAAUGGUCUGAAAUGUUACUACAAAUCUUUCCCGAUAUGUCUACUAUGUCUGGACUUAAGACACCUCAAGCCCCCCCCCCCCUCCUCCCCAAAAAAAAAAAAAAGAAAGUGUGAGGUGGUUUGACUAGGUCUUCCAACGAUGGCUGAUUUGCUCUUGAAUUUGCGGUCCCUUUUGGAGACCAACUAUCAGCAGCAGCAGCAGCAGCUGCUUAAGAGUAUGCCUACUGUUGCCUCUGCUUGUUAGACACUCUCAAGUAAGAAUGUCAACUCUUUAUGGAGUACUAUUAAUACUUACUACUAUUAAUUAUUUGUACCUAGUACUAGUUUAUAAGCACUUAUAGACGGUUUAAUCAAUUAUGUGUGAGAAUACAGCUACUCCAUUUGAUUACAUACUGUUCUUUGACAAUGCAUUGAUUCAUGAAAACUUCUUUUGUUCUGCUCCUGCUUUACCAUUUACAUCUGUUUGUUUGUUUUAUACGACAACAGGAGUUGAUUUCUGCACUGUUUUACAAAACUUGCAUGCAGCAACACACUUAAAAGGGUAAAAUUAGUACUGGUCAAGGUAAAACUUAUCCUGGCAAUUGCCAAACUAUGGAAAAUUGUUGGUACCAAAUUGCAAAUCGUACCCAUGCUCAUUGCUUAGUUGUCCUACUUCGACUAUAGGAGAAAUGCAAGUUUAGUUCUCAAUAUUUAGCAUGUGUGCUAAAUUGGUCCUUAAUAUUUCAACUAAAAAUGAGACCCACUAUCGGCGCCAGCAGCAGCAGCCCCUUGAUAGUAAUACAACUUGCCUCCGCUUGUUGGACUCCCAGCAGCCUGGCCUUGUGCUUCUCUCUCAAGUAAGAAUAAGAAGCAAAUUCCUUCACUCUUUACGGACUUCUUUUUAUGCUUGUUUCUAUUGGCCGUUUGUUCCUACGAUUAGUAUAGCACCAAAUGUUGCUACUUUAACCAAUUAAAUGCCAGAAUGCGUUUAUUCUGUUCAAUUUUGGAUUGAUUGUUCUUUCUCUAGGCAUUUUGAUUCAUGGAAACUUCUUUUCUUCUGCUCCUACUUUACAAUUUGCAUUUCUGGUUAACAUUGAUGGUUGUUGUGCUUGUUUUAUUUCACAACAGGAGUUGAUUGCUGCUCUGCUUUCUUGCGCUUUCUUUUCUUUAUUUCCUGCUGCUAAUAGAGGUGCCACAUAUCUCCCAGCGAUCAACUUUCAUCAUUUAUUUGCGUAUGUUAUCAUUCCAUCAAUCAGCAUCAUCAUCAAUUGUGCAUACCCCUUCAUUAUUAACUACUCUGCUAUUCUUGCACUCUUGCUUGUCCUUGCAAACUGACACCUUUUCCCUGCCAUAUUACCAGCAAUGUUCUAUGGGCCCUUUUUGUUCAUAUCAAGGACCAACCGGCUUGGGCAACCUUAUUGAAAACUGAUGAUUUUUUUUUUUCUUUGAAACUGAUGGUCACAAGGUUCCUAUGGGUCUGAAGUUUCUUUGGGCUGUUUUGUUAACUGUGUCAAGACUUAGUCUUUCUUCAAUUUAGCUUUUCUAUGACAACAUUUUCCUGGUGUAAAGCUGGCCUUUGAGUUUGUAAUUAAGCGUGUAGAUCAGAAAGCAUGAAGGAGAAUACACUUAGUGUACCGCAUGUGUGUGCUUAAUUUAACAUAACAAGGAAGGAUUAUAAUGCAUAAGAAGUUGACGACCUACUACUACUUACAGUUUCAUGUCUCCAUCUCUUAUUUUGAUCUGUGCACUUCAGUCAUCGUGGUCGGAUCACAGUCAAACCUUGAAAGUGUAGGAUAGUGGCAACUUAAAGAGAGAGAGAGAGAGAGAGAGAGAGGGGGGGUUGGAUCUACAAUCUCGAAGCUUGUGGAAGAGAAGCUAUAAACUUUGGGAGUGAUUAUGCAUAUUGUAACUUCAUCAAUCAAAUCUAAUGAGUGCUGUUGAUUCUUAUCUGAAUUUUCAGUUCAGUCGGCAAGUGGAUAUAUCUGAUACUAAUGUUGUUUCAGGUCUCUAUACGGGUGUUAUGAGGAGUACCAGGAAAGCAAAAUAAAGUACAUUGAUUUGAAUGUAUAUGAGAUUUUUUCUCUUUUUUUAUUGUUUUUCUGCUGAAUAAUGGAUUUCUGUUUUUGGAACACAAAAAUAAGUGAAGGACAAGUGGUCUUGGUUACUUUGUCAGCUUUGAGUAUGUGGCCUUAAAAAAGGAUGAUCGUUGGAGUAUUUCUUUGUAUUCAGACACUUGCUCCCUCCAUCAUAAUUUGUUCUUCACUUCUGGGUCCCAAUUCCUAUUGCACUUACCUGCACAAUUCUCAUGUAUAUCCACAUGCACUUGUAGUCAGCUUCUUCAAGGCCAAACUAGAAAAAGUACACGAUUGACUGCUAUUUGUGCAGUGUUAUUUCAAAAGGGGUUUCCUAAAAGUGAAGAACAAACUGUAUUCUAGUCCUGCUAUCUUCUUUUAGAGAUGUGAUCAAAUGGUCGAAUUGUGACUAAGUGUGGUGUCUCCUCCAAGCAUUUUCUUAAUGCUAAUCUAAAAAGGCAAACUAUCCUUUGGUUGGUUACCUUUGCCAAGGUUUAGUUUGCCCCUUUGACUCAAAUUCAUUUGGUCCAUUUAUUAACUAUAGCUCAAAGAUGGUUGCCAUUAUCUUUUGGAGUUCUUCUGUUAAAUUUAUUGUCAUUUUUUGAACACGGAACUUCCCUUGUUUUUAAGGUUGUGGCAGACUAAGUUCAAAGAUAAAACGUAACAAAUCGGUGGUGAAGGAGCACGGUUGAAACUUUACCAAAUUUAGUGCCCGACGAUGUGGCUGCACUUCGCGAAUUAUAGGUCUAACACGCGGCCUAUUAUUCAUUAGAUUCUUAGAUCUGACUGAUUGAACUUUGGACCACCUUUCCUUAUUUUAUGGAUGGACACUUUCUUUUCAUGCCCAUUGGUUGUUGACAAUUUCUGGAGAUGCUCUGCACCAAUUGUUGAUUUUGUCUGACCCAAGAUCUCCUUUGCAAUUCACCUGUAAGGGAGAAUGGAUGAGCUCAAGGGCAGGUAAAAUGGAGGCAUUCUAGCUAUUCAUUGAACAAGAAAAUGACAGGAGAGGGGGGGUUGCAUGCUGGAGGGUAUUUACUGUCUACUGCCCACUGCCCCGGAUUUGAAACUGCUGUGGAAGCAUAUGUGAUCAAACACUGGCUUGCGACGGCAACUUUGCUGCUACCAGAAUUUGGUUAGAAAGCUUUGUCUAUAACCAGCCUAGUUAUGAGGAUCCAACCCACAUUCAUGUAUUCCUCUCUUGCUUGUUUUGUGAACGGAGGCUCGUUGAAUUCGCUGAAAGAUGGGAUCGGAUGUUUGGUCUAAAAUUGUUUUGUCCGCUUCCAUGAGUAUGGCUCUUUUCGUCAAGUUGAUUUCUCAAUCUUUGUGCCUAUAAUUAAGUCUAUAUGCGUAGUAUUAGGUUCAAAAGUUACCGUUCAUACAAGGACCAUUAAUUUGUCAUAUCUUUUACUUCCACAAAAUAGGGAAAAUUUUGUCUCGUUACUGAAAAUUGGUCUACACAAGCAUUGGGUAGAGCGGGAUUAAUUUAUUGCCCGUCUAGACUUGCAAGGGUGGUGGAUAUGCUUGCCCCGAUGAUGACUUCAGGGAUUAAUUCUUUUCUUUGUGCUUGAUGUUUCAUGAUGGGGUUAAAACGAGGGAAAAAAAUUCCCCUCAUCCCGCCCUAUUACUUCCCCCGGGAUGAGCGCGGGUACGCGCCCCUGUUGCCAUCCCUAGAUAUUAUUAUAUGGGAUUAAAUAUAGAAAAUUCUCAUGAACUUUUAUAGCUGUUGCACAAUAUACUCCAAAGUAUGUUUAUAGGCACUUUGCACCCUAAGAAAACUAUCGUUCACAGAUUUCAUGACCAUACAAAGCGCGUGUCUUGCAAGCUCUGUCCAUUGAAAUUUCUUGAUAUAAUUGUCAUCCUUUCAAACAAAUAUAAAUGGCUAUCUCCAGCUAUCGUUACUUGUUCAUUCUACUCAUUUAUUAUCAUUUUCAUCAUAGUUUUUCCCCUUUUAUUUCCUCUUUUUCACAAAUGCUGCACAAUUUCUACAUUGAGCAUAGUCCUAAUAAUUGCAGCUCAAGCGAUGCAUAUGAAGCAACAAACUUCAACUCAAGAUGCAGGUGUGGAAGAAUGGCACCUCUAUGCACUUCAUGGACUAUUCACAAUUCAAGAAGAAAAUUAAUUGGAAUAACUAAUGUAGUAUUUUUUGGGAUGUGAUCUAUGCAAAAAAAAAAAAAAAAAAAAAAAGAUGGUUCGAAAGAUAAAAAGUUGAUUGCAAAUUGUAUUUGUGAUGCAAGUAAAAUAUUAUUCGAAAUAAUUUUGUUAUCCAAAAAGAAAACAAAAAGUACGAAAAUUUUAUCUUCUCAAAUGAGUAAAAAAUUUCUAAAAAAAAGUCAUUAACCAAUAAUAUACUACUACUAAUAUUUUCUUUUUUAUUUUAAUCUUAUUAUUUGUCACUUUACUAUUAAUAAUUAGAUUUAUUAUGGGCUCAUUUGUUUUUGAUGUAUCUAAAUAAUUUGAAUACUAUACAAAAUAUGCUUUGCACAUAACUAACAUAUAUUUGCAAUUAUUAUUACUAGUAAUAACUGAACAUAAAAAAGAGAUGAAAAGAGAAUAAGUUGAAGUUCAUUAAAAAUAAUAGAUAAAUAAUGAUAGUAAAAAAUUGAAAUAACUAGUCACACAAGACAGAAAAGAAUAAGAAAAAUGUAAAAUGGAACAAGGUAAAGAGUAAAGAAAAAAGUACCAAAAAUAAUUGAUAUAUAAAUAAUAUUCCAAACAAUAGUUUUUUUUUACAUACAUCAUAUUCCAAAAUUAUUUAGAUACUUUAUGGACCAUCACAUCCCACUCUAUGCAACACAAUGGCCAAUCGGACAUGAAGGAUGCUUUUAUCUGUUCAAUUAUUAUUUGAGAAUACAGUUAUCAUUUCAGUGAUAAAGUGAACGAUACAUAAAAAUUAGUUACUUUUCAGUGGAUUUUGGAUGCAAAUUACCUAUAAACAUACUUUGAAGUGUGUCGUGCAAGUGCAACAGCUAUAAAAGUUCACACGGGCGGUUUCUGAAAUUAUCCCUAUUAUUGUAUCAUCCCUUGCUCCAGAAAUUCGCCAUGCCACUGCUAGAGUAGAAAACAUUAGCAGGAUACCAAGUUUGCUAUCUUUUGUAGUCCGUAAUACUAAAUACCAGCAAGAAGAACUAAGAAAGAAUUGAGGAGACCGGUUUCCAUCCGCAAAGCAAAGAACUUCAGCACUCCACCUCUGUAUCUCUCCUUCUCUGGAUUCAAGCUUUUCACAGUACCAAAACAAAAUACUAUUGUAAGUGGUAAGAAGCCCGCCUUCAAAUCCCUUUCUUGGUUACUACUAAACUUUUGUACCUUCUAUGCCAUCGGGAGUUAGUAGUAGUACAAAUAUAUGCGAGUCCUCCCUGCUGCAUGUUGCCUUUUUUCGUUUUUUUUUUCCCCAAAUCAAAGUUUGAAUCUUUCUCUGUGAUUUCAAUUGAAAAGUGGACAGCAUCUUUUCCACUGGGGAGUGAGGGGUUGUGGGAGUUUUCCUAUGGAGAUAACGUUGAGACAUCUUCUCAUGUAAUUGUAAUUUAAAGCUUCUCUAUUGUUAUCUAUUUGUCCUUUUCUUUUCUUUUAAUCAUUGGAAAAUUGCACAUUUCCAUUUUUCUGCUACAAAGGAAGGGGUUGCUCUAUGGGGCUUUGUUUGUUAAUUCCACAUUCUGAGGCUGCUGGGUUGGCUGUUGAAUGAGUAGUGUGUAUUUAGCUCGAAUCUCAUUUUUCAGCACUCCACUGCUGUUGGUGUUUGCUAAAUUCUGAUUUUUUUUUUCCGAAGGAUCUUUUAGUGUCCUGCCCUUUCAUAUAUCAUACUUUCUUUAUCUCAUGCUUCUGCCCUGAUGGUUGAGAAGAACGCGAUCGCACAAAGUCAAGUACAGACGAAAAGUUUCGUGAAAUAUAUUCUUAUUUUCGUUUUUUUUCCUGGAAGACUGGAAAGAAGGAAUUGCUAACUGUGUUUCCGUGGAAUAAAGAUAAGAUAGCCUGUUUAACCAUUGACAUUUGCCAUUGUAAUUUAGGAGUAAAGCUUCUACCUUUACGUGGAUAUUGAGAUUGGAUUUGUUUUGGGUUCUUUUCUGCAUUUGUAUUGCACACGCGUCUUUUCUUGUCUAUUGAGGCCACUAUUGCUGCUACUCAAGUUGAAAAAGUUUUCACUGUUAUUUUGCAGCACUGGUUGCAAUUAGAGGACCUUGCAGUAAAGGUUGUUCUUCAGCUACUAAGAUAAAAGGCAGUCGUGGUUACAACAAAUGGAUGCAUUGAGGCUGCAGUCUUGGUUCUCACCUAUUAAAAUAAAAGGCAGAAAAGAUUCUUCUUCAUGCUAUGGUGAUCUCUCUAUGAGGAGAAAGAAACAGAACCAAACUGUUAUAUCAUCAACCUGGAUGUCUAUGAACAGCCUAUCCAGAUCGCCUUCAUGGGUACGUGCAUCUGAUUCUCAUUUCCCUUCCGUGUCUAAUGUCUAUUUCUACUUCAUAAUAUUCAUUUGUGUGUCAAUUCAUAUCAUUGUGGAGGUCUUAGUGGUAGGGGUUUUUGAUCAGGUUCAUGGGUUCAGAGAAUAUAGGUUAAAGACUACUAAAGCAGUGGGUGUAUCAGAGGCGGAGGAUGGGAGGGAGAAAGGAAGCAAAAAAUCUGGUGAAAAUUCUAUACCUGAUGAUGCCUUUGAUAUGGAUGAUGAAGAGAGGCAGGCAUGGAGGAAAAAAAUUAGGGAAGUGAUCAGUACGAACCCUGCCAUUGAUGAAGAGGUAGAUCCUGAUGAAUGUAGAAAAAAGAUGCAAAAGCUUUUGGCGGAUUAUCCUCUUGUUGUUGAGGAAGAUGACCCCGAUUGGCCAGAAGAUGCUGAUGGUUGGGGUUUCAGCUUAGGUCAAUUCUUCAACAAGAUUACCAUUAAAAAUGUCAAGAAGGAUGAUGAUGACAACUAUGAUAGUGAAAAUGAAAUUGUGUGGCAAGAUGAUGAUUAUAUCCGUCCAAUUAAGGACAUAACAUCUGCAGAAUGGGAAGAGGCAGUGUUCAAGGACAUCAGUCCUUUAGUUGUUCUUGUACAUAACCGUUAUAAAAGGUUUGUUUGCUUUACUUUGUUUUUGUCAUUGGCACUCUUUUAGUGCAAGUUAAUUGGUUUUAAUGUCCAUGUUUUUCUUUUUAAAAUGUUGCUGGGAUUAGUUACCUCAAAUUGCCUGUCUUUUAAUAUGAUGCUUAGUGUUGUAGAUUAGUGCUGAUGCCUGACUAUUUGCUGUGCCUGAAUCAUUUUGGGAUAAUUUCUGGCUAUCAAUUUCUUAGCUAGGUGAUCUCUUUGAGUUCUUAUUCUUCUGCUGUGAUAUGUCCCUCCCUGGGUUAAACAUUUAGGAACGUUUGUCCAGAAAUGCUAUUGAUAUUGCAUAUGCAUAGCCUUUGUUGAGUUACUUUGACCUUUAUAGCAGGCUAUUGCCAGCUAAGUGUUUGUCGAUUGAUCUUAAGGUCGCAGUAUUAUGUGACUAUGUCUUAUCAGUUUUUGAACUCUGGCUUGCUUAUAUAUUCUACCUUGCAUCGAAUAACUUGCAAACAUAGAACUGAGGUCCUGGUAAUAUGCCAACAAGAAUUUACUGAUUGCAAUUGGCAUUAUUUGAUUUGAUUCACCUACAUAGGCAUGCUUGGUUGCUUGACUUGGCAAAGUUACUGAACAGCAAAAUUUUGAAAGAAUUGAUAUGAUCCUCUACCUCCCCUCUUGUGCUCUUCCCCUUGCUUGUUGAUCCUAAUUUUCUGGGUUUUGGAUAACUUUGUGGCAUUUGUCUACAUAUAUAUUUGCAGAGCUGUUAUCUGGAAAAAUAUAGUAAUAUGAAAAUGCAGAUGGAAGGCUUUUGCUGACACCCUUUGCAGCUACUUUUUCUGAGCUGGGUUAUAUUGAGCAAAAUAGUCAUUGACAAAACAUUUUUUGGAGCAUUUUGCUAACACGUUUUACAAUGCCCAUUAUAGUUUGCCGACCAUCUUUUCAUCCACGAGAAAGUGCUGAUUUUUCAGAAAAAAUCCUCAAGAAUGCAAUCCAAAGGAAAGAAUUUUAAAAGAUCUAUAAUUGGUUGCUUCUGUAAGGACUUCUUCAUUAUUCCUCAUAGCUUUAUGAUCUAUGCAGACCAAAGGAAAAUGAAAAGAUUAGGAAUGAAUUGGAGAACGCUGUGCAUAUCAUAUGGAACUGCAGGCUACCAUCUCCAAGAGUAAGUGAAGGCUUUGAGUUAUUAGGUUAUUUGGUAGUUUACCAUGUUCGGCAUAUUGAUACGUGUAUUUCAAAAUAGUGUGUAGCAAUUGAUGGUGUUAACGAGCUUGGUUUGGUCUCUGCUCUACAAGUCUCUGUUUUCCCAGAGCUCAUAUUUAUUAAAGCAGGGAAAAUCUUACAUCGCGAGAAAGGUAAAGUUCAUGUGUUAAGAAGUUCAUGAUUGCCUUCAAAAGAAACUAUCAUUGUGAUUUAACUUUAUUUCCUUUUGCUUCUUCAGCAAUUCGAACGGCAGAUGAGUUGCCAAGAAUGAUGGCAUUCUUUUACUUUGGAGCAGCAAUGCCACCCUGUCUUAGUGGCAUUAAGAACUGUUGAAGAUAUGUGAUCUGAUAUUAUGGAAAGAUUUGAUAUUGUAAAUAUUAGGAAAGAUAUGAUUAUAGUAUCAUGUAUUAAUUAGGUAUCAUAUGAUUAUAGUAUCAUAUAUUAAUUAGGUAGUAGAUUGAUUUAGAUUAGCAUGAUUUUAGGAUUCAAAUUAGGUUACACUUGUGUAUAUAUAUAUGUAUAUUGUGUAGUCCAAAGAUAUGUAGAAGAGUAUUUUCUCUCCCUUUGUCUUAGUUUUCAUGGUAUCAGAGCCCUACCAUCAAGGUUAGGGUCUCUGUCCGCUGCCAGAAAAUUCAUUAGUCAUCAUUCGGUUCAUCUGGUUCUGUGUAGGACAUAUCUGUGUUCUAUUCUUCACUCUUGUUUUAAAGAGUUCAGAUCUGUCCUCUUUUGUUUGUUUCUGUUAAUUCUAAACCCAUGGCAGAAACGAAAUCUGUCGUUACGUCUGAUGUGGUUCCUGUGAUGUCCAAGAUCACGGACCACAAACUCAAUAAUUCUAACUAUCUUGAUUGGAGCAAAACAGUUCGUCUUUAUCUGCGAAGCAUUGAUAAAGACAAUCAUCUGACUGAUGAUCCUCCAAAAGAUGGUUCAAGACAAACAUGGCUAAGGGAAGAUGCUAGAUUGUUCCUGCAAAUACGGAAUUCUAUUGACAGUGAGGUAAUUAGCUUAAUUAAUCACUGUGAAUUUGUUAAGGAGUUAAUGGAGUAUUUAGAAUUUUUGUAUUCUGGUAAAGGGAAUAUUUCUCGCAUAUAUGAGGUGUGUCAAGCCUUUUAUCGUGCAGAGAAACAAGAUAAGUCCAUUAUGACUUAUUUUAUGGAUUUUAAGAAAACUUAUGAGGAGUUUAAUCUGUUAUUACCGUUUAGUUCUGAUGUGAAAGUUCAGCAAACUCAACGGGAACAGAUGGCAAUUAUGAGUUUUUUGGCUGGUCUUUCACCUGAAUUUGAAGCUGCUAAAUCUCAGAUUCUUUCCAGUCCUGAGAUCUCAUCCUUGCAAGAUGUGUUUAGUAGGGUGCUUCGCACAGAGAAUACCCAGUCUGUUCAGUCCAGCAGUGCUCUUGUUGGUCUUGGAAAACAGCAAUACAAAGGUGGUGGUAAAGGAAUUGACACUCGGGGACAGAAUGUAGAAGUGGUUGUGUGUUACUAUUGUCAUAAGCCGGGUCAUAUGAAGCGUGAUUGUAAGAAAUUGCAGUACAAGAACCAGAGAACUCAAUCCGCACAUAUUGCUUCUACCAAUGAUGCUAUUAACCAUGAAAAGUCUGUUACGAUCUCUGCAGAUGAAUUUGCUAAAUUUUCUCAGUAUCAAGAAUCAUUAAAGUCUUCAUCUACUCCCGUAACUGCCAUCGCUGAGUCAGGUAAACCAAACACAUGCCUUGUGUCCUCAUCCUCCAAAUGGGUAAUUGAUUCUGGUGUCACAGAUCAUAUGACAGGUAAUUCUAGUUUAUUUUCUACCUUUCAGCCACACACAUCUGCACCUACAGUUACCUUAGCUGAUGGGUCAAAAUCUCGUGUUCUUGGAUCAAGCUCAGUUAACCCCACUCCAUUAAUCUCAUUGUCAUCUGUCUUAAGUUUGCCUGAGUUGUCUUUUAAUCUAAUUUCUGUGAGUAAACUUACUCGUGCCCUCAAUUGUUCUACCCAAUUGCUUGUUUCAGGAUCUUACGACGAAGCAGAUUAUUGGUAAAGGGCAUGAAUCUGGAGGUCUUUACAUUCUUGACACACAGAUACCAAAGUCCAUAGCUUGUUCUGGAAUUGUAACUCCAUUUGAAGCACAUUGUAGGCUGGGUCAUCCUUCUCUCCCGUUGUUAAAGAUACUUUGUCCACAAUUUCAGAGUUUGUCUUUAUUAGAUUGUGAGUCUUGUCAGUUUGCUAAACAUCAUCGUGUUAAUCUGAGUCCUAGAGUCAAUAAACGGGCGGAUGCUCCUUUUGCAUUAGUUCAUUCAGAUGUCUGGGGACCUAGUCCAGUCAUUUCUAAAACUGGAUUCAAGUAUUUUGUUACUUUUGUCGAUGACCAUUCUCGUAUGACUUGGUUAUAUUUGAUGAAAAAUCGGUCAGAGUUGUUUUCUCAUUUUUGUGCUGAGGUUAAGACCCAAUUUAAGCGUUCUGUACAAAUAUUGCGAAGUGACAAUGCCAAAGAAUAUUUAUUCGCACCUUUUCAAUCUUAUAUGGUGCAAAAUGGCAUUAUUCAUCAAACCUCUUGUGUGGAUACGCCAUCCCAAAAUGAGGUCGCAGAACGAAAGAAUAGACAUUUGCUCGAAACUGCAAGAGCCUUAUCAUUUCAAAUGCAUGUUCCUAAACAUUUUUGGGCUGAUGCAGUGUCCACAGCUUGCUUUCUAAUUAACCGUCUGCCUUCAUCUGUUUUGAAUGGUGGGACUCCUUAUAACACUCUUUUUCCAAAUAGACCCUUGUUUCCCAUCGAACCUAAAAUCUUUGGGUGUACAUGUUUAGUUCGCGACUCUCGUCCCCAAGUCACUAAAUUAGACCCCAAAUCAUUGAAAUGUAUUUUUCUUGGUUAUUUCCGUGUCCAAAAAGGAUAUAGAUGUUAUUGUCCUAGUCUCGGCAGGUACAUUGUGUCAGUUGAUGUUACUUUUCUUGAAAAUACACCUUUUACCCCAUCCUCAUCUCAUUCAUGUCAGGAGGAGGAUAAUGAUUUGUUAAUCUAUACUGUCACAUCCUCAAGUUCUUCCCCUGCUAAACCUCCAAUUACUCAGGUAUAUUCUCGACGACAAAAGUCUCCUGAUGCAUGCCCUGAACCGGUUCCUUCGCUACUAGAUCCUGUCUCAAAUGAUGAUCUUCCUAUUGCUCUUCGCAAAGGUAAGCGUCAAUGCACUUAUCCUGUGUCUUCGUGUGUAUCUUAUAAUCAUUUACCCACCUCUUCUUGUUCCUUUAUUACAUCUAUUGAUCCUAUCUCCCUUCCUAAAACUGUUCAUGAAGCCCUAUCCCAUCCCAGAUGGCACAAUGCUAUGAUAGAGGAGAUAAAUGCUCUAGAUGGUAAUGAUACUUGGAACUUAGUAAAUUUACCUGCAGGGAAGAAGGCCAUUGGGAGUAAGUGGAUUUUUGCAGUUAAAUUUAAUCCUGAUGCGUCGGUUGCUUGGUUAAAAGCUCGUCUUGUUGCCAAAGGCUAUGCCCAAAUCUAUGGAGAGGAUUAUUCUGAUACUUUUUCCCCUGUUGCUAAGUUAACAUCUGUCAGGUUAUUCAUUUCUAUGGCAGCCACUCAUAAUUGGCCUUUGCAUCAACUAGAUAUCAAGAAUGCCUUUCUUCAUGGAGACCUCCAAGAGGAAGUUUAUAUGGAGCAACCACCAGGGUUUGUUGCUCAGGGGGAGUCUGGGAAGGUUUGUCAUCUUCGGAAGUCCUUGUAUGGACUGAAACAAAGUCCUCGUGCUUGGUUUGGAAAAUUUAGUCUAGCAGUUGAAAGGUUUGGGAUGCAGAAAAGCAAAUCUGAUCAUUCUGUUUUCUACAAACAGUCUGAAGUUGGUAUUGUUUUGUUGGUAGUAUAUGUGGAUGAUAUUGUUAUCACUGGGAAUGAUGCUGCAGGUAUUUCAUCUCUUAAAACUUUUCUUCAUAGUCAAUUUCAGACAAAGGAUUUGGGGCUGUUAAAGUAUUUUUUGGGUAUUGAGGUAGCAAAGAGUAGGAAGGAGAUAUUCCUGUCCCAAAGGAAAUAUGUUCUUGACUUGCUAUCUGAAACGGGAAAAUUGGGGGCUAAACCAGCUAGUACCCCAAUGAUUCCUAACUUGCAGCUCACAAAAGAAGGUGAAUUGUUAGAAGAUCCUGGGAGGUAUAGAAGAUUGGUUGGAAAGUUGAAUUAUCUUACAGUAACUCGUCCAGAUAUCGCGUAUUCAGUUAGUGUUGUUAGUCAAUAUAUGACUAAUCCUACUGUUAGAAUUGGAAUUGAAUUAGAAUUGAAAUUCUAUAGAAUUUGAAUUCUAUGAAUUAGAAAUCCAAAUCCUUGCAAUUCUUUCGUUUGGAAAAUACAUAGAAUUGAUACGGAAUUUAUUUGGAAUUCCAAAUCUUUUGUUUGGAUGAGAGAAGAAUUUAUUAGGAAUUAGAAUUGUUUUCAUAAAACAUUUGCUUACAUAAAAUUUUUCUUUUUUUUAUAUAAUAAUUUCUUUUUUUUCUUACAUUUAGCUAAUUUUUACUAAAAAUUUAAAGGAAAAAUGCAAAUUACUUUCUUUUUUGGCAAAAUAUCAGCCAAAACCCCGAAAUUUACAGUUGAAGAACGGAAAAGAAAGAAAAUUUUAAAAGAAUCAAGGAAAGUAGUGGUAAAAUGAAUCAACUACUACUAGUAUAGAACUGAAACGUCCAAGUUCCUUUUCCUUUUUCAUCCCCCCAAGACACCCUCCCCAAACGCGUGUCAUUAACUCUCCCAUUUUCCCUUUCUUUGUUUCCUUUUCUCUCUCUCAAUCAACACCACAACCACUUCGUCGAGGCACCACCUUGACCACAACUCCGUCGGCACCUACGCCACCACUGAAAAUUAUGGACUGAAUUCCCAAAACUCCUCACCACCCUUCUUAUAAGACCUAUACAUAAACUCCUACUUAACUGGAAAAUUAAGAUACUAACUAUAAAAGAACAAAAAUCAGUGAGCCAAAACUCAAAAGCCUUGUAUGAUGGCGGAGCUGGCUCAAUCCGCCGACGUCUACGCGCCGAAGACUAUACAAGUUUGGAGAGCACUAUUAAACUGGCUGGCUUUCUUCUUCCAGAUCUUCGUUCAGAUCAUCAGAGGCACGUCGUCGCUGACUCAGGUCCUGUCUUACGUUGGCCUGCGCCACUCCUCUCUUCUCUCUUCUUCAUCGCCUCAGUUCAAGCCUUUAGUGAUGGGUGAAGGCAGCACAAGUGAAGGAGGCGGCGGCAGGAAUGCUCCAACAGAGCAUUAGAUAUGGCGAUUGAUAAUGGAAAGAGAAGAGAGGUUUGAGUUUUUUCCAUCACUUUUAUAGUUGACCCAUUUUUUAGAUUUU